CUUGGGCAGCGGCGGAUGAGAAGAAGGGUUCGAUUUGACGGGGAGCAGGGAGAUUAAGAUGAUGCCGUUUGGGGCAGGGAGGAGGAUCUGUCCUGCAUCGGGAUUGGCGGUGCUUCACCUGGAGUACUUUGUGGCGAAUUUGGUUUGGAAGUUUCAGUGGAGGGCUGUGGAGGGAGAUGACGUUGACCUGUCAGAGAAGACGGAGUUUACUGUGGUGAUGAAGAAUCCAUUGCAAGCCCACGUAAUCCCUAGAAUUUAAUACGUGGGAGAAUUCUGUACUAAUUUUUCGAUGUACGUUCAACCGCUAAAUCCAUCAAUGUAUAUGCUCUUCAUUGAUUAUGCAAUUUCGAAAAUUUGGAAUUUUAGUUUACUAGUGUGAUUCAAGACAGAUUUUAUAAUUUUAAUAUUUAGUGAGUGAUUUGAGUGAGCUGUAUUUGCUAUCUUCAUGUAAUUGUAAACACGCAUCGGAGAUUACGAAGUAGCUUGGGUUGAUUUUGAGGCAGGAAAGACAGAAAAUGAAAUGCUAUCUUUACAACCCCUCUCAACCCUGCCUUCACCGCAUGAAUCUAUCCUUAUUGGUGACUUAAAAAGGGCUAAUUUCAAGCAAUUUCUUUCCGACAAGGGUGUUCAGUUACCAUUUCCGUUCAUUGCUUAAUUUGUUAGAUUAUGUUUCAUCACCAAAAUUCGAUAUGUGAAAUAAUCUCACGUUCUCAACUUCUAGAUAAGGUUAAAUCUCUAUGGAACUACCAUAUAUACAACGAUUUUGAUCUGAUUUCCUUGACAUGUUGAAUUUGCUGGUGGGGCGCUGAGAUGCGGUGAAUAUGUGACAUUACGCAAAGUUGGAGAUGCAAGCCAUAAGGUUGGUCAUAUACAUAUAUGCUAAUAGUAUUUGCACCCAAAUUUUUAGCACAACAGUUGCAUAGCUAGAGUUCUGGUUUGCGGAUGGAAAGUCUAACUAGCGUAUAUAUAAUUUGAUCUUUUGUAGGGUGGUGGUUCUGGCACCCAACAAAUUGUGAUCGCAAGCCCUUAUGUCAGGAUUAUUACAAGAUUCAGGAGUAUCUCUACUCACAAUUUUGUUUGUUUUAAGACUAUCUUCAACCCUUGGGGACAAGACAAAGCUUAAAAAUUUAAGCCAGAAAAUUUGAAGUCAUAAGCCAUAAACUAUUUUUCUCUUUCAACACUUAUGGCUUAAAAUUUUAGCCCGUGAUGAUCAAAUAAUGAUAUUAGCCUAAUUUUUUGUUUUCUGUAACUUCUUUUGAAAAUAAAAUUUAUGUAGAUUAUCUUAAUUUAUUUUUAUGAACAUUUUAGUCUAAAAAUAUUUAAAUUCUCAAAUACAUAUGUAUUUAUAAAGUUCUAAGUUAAAUUUGAUUUAAAUAAUUUUCUUAAAUUAUUUUAGACGUUGGUUUAAUUUUGGGCCGUCAAAUCUUUUUUUUACUAUUAGAUUUGAUCUCAUUUGAUCGUAGCCGUUAGAUUAUAAGUAAACAACAAAAAAAUAAUUGAAAUAUAACAGUUUGGUGGAUCCAGAAUAAUUUAAACCAGGCUUAAAUCCUGGAAGUAAUCUAGCUUAGAGAUAUAUUUUCUCUCCAGGGUUUAUUUUAGCCCAUGAUUGGAGAUGAUUUGGGAGAAGUUUUAAAACUUAUGUUUUAAGCUUUAUUUUAUGAAUUGGUGAUGGUCUAAGUGAAGAGACAUAAUAUCAAACGGGUGAACUAACAUUUAAUCACGAUGUUAACUUCCAGUGAUUCCACGAAACACACUAAAGUUAUUUCAACGUAGACUUAUUUUUCUUCGAAGUUGCAAUGGUAAGACAUUUUAAGUGAAAGUGACAAUAUGUGCAGCUGAGUCAAAGCCGUGGAAACCUGAUUUCUUAUAGGACAAGGAUUGUCUGCCCUCCUAGUUGUGGUGCCCUUUCAUGCACUCUUAUUUUGUGCGGUCAUGAUUAAGCCAUGUCAAUAUUUUAUAUUUUUAUUGUUUUUUAUCUUAUUAUCUCAUUAAAAAUUAAUAUAAAAUAUUAAUAUGACUUAAGCGUGACCGCACAAAAUAAGAGAGAAUGGAAGGGCACCACAAUUAGGAGGGCAGACUGUCCUUUCUUAUAAAGUAUGGAAACUAACAAGAACUAACAAUUAAUGAGCAAACGCAGUCGCCCUCUGUCUGAUUGCUUACGAUUCACCAUGGAAACCUGGUUCCUUAUCCUCAUCGCCCUCUGCGUCUCCUUCCUCCUCAGACCCCUUCUCUCUCUAUUCCUACCCACUUCCAUCUCCAGAUCCAAUCUCCCUCCCGGGCCUCGCUUCUUCCACAUCAUCGAAGGCUUCUUAUUCCUCCUCAAAUCUACCUCGGAGCUCGAGCCUAUAAUCCGCAAACUCCAGGCCGAAUACGGGCCCAUCAUCUCCCUCCCCAUCGGCUCCCGCUCUACCGUCUUCGUCGCCGACCGCUCCCCCGCCCACCAGGCCUUAAUCCUGAACGGCGCCGUGUUCGCCGACCGCCCCCAGGCCUUGGCCACCAACAAGUGCGCCAGCAGCAACCAGCACACCAUCGCCUCCGCCGUCUACGGCCCCACGUGGCGUCUCCUCCGCCGCAAUAUCACCUCCGAAAUCCUCCACCCUUCCCGCGUUAAAUCCUACGGCAGCGCCCGCAAAUGGGUUCUCGACAUCCUCGUCAACCGCCUCAAAACCGAGUAUCAAUCCCACUCCGAAGCCGCCGCCGCCGGGGUCAGGGUGGUCGACCACUUCCAAUACGCCAUGUUCUGCCUCCUGGUUCUGAUGUGCUUCGGCGACAAAUUGAACGAAGAGCAAAUCAAAGAAAUCGAGCACGUGCAGCGCCAACUACUUUUGAGUUCCGGGCGGUUCAAUAUCCUCAAUUUCAAGCCGAAAUUGACGAAGAUUAUCUUCAAAAAUCGGUGGCGGCAAUUCUUCAAAAUCCUCGAGGAACGACGAGAAGUGCUCGUCCCUCUGAUUCGAGCACGACAAAACAGGGCAAAGCAGGGCAGCAAAACCGACGACAAGGAUGAUGAAUUUGUGUUGUCGUAUACAGAUACGCUGCUGGACCUCGAGCUUCCCGACGGCAACGAAAAGCGGAAGCUUUCGGAGGGAGAAAUGGUUAGCCUCUGCUCAGAGUUUCUGACCGCCGGCACCGACACGACUUCCACCGCGCUGCAGUGGAUCAUGGCCAACGUAGUGAAGUACCCGCAAGUUCAGGAUAAGCUGUUUGCGGAGAUUAAAGGGGUGAUGGGAGAAACGGAGGACGAGGUGCCGGAGGAGGUCCUGCACAAGCUGCCGUAUCUGAAAGCCGUGAUCUUGGAGGGGCUGAGGCGCCAUCCACCGGCGCACUUUGUGCCGCGCGCGGUGACGCAUGACGUGGUUUUGGGCGGAUACGUGGUGCCCAAGAACGGGAGUGUUAGUUUCAUGGUGGCGGAUAUAGGGUGGGACCCGCAAGUGUGGGAGGAUCCCAUGGCUUUCAAGCCGGAGAGGUUCUUGGGCAGCGGCGGAGAAGAAGGGUUCGAUUUGAGGGGGAGCAGGGAGAUUAAGAUGAUGCCGUUUGGGGCAGGGAGGAGGAUCUGUCCAGGGUCGGGAUUGGCGGUGCUUCACCUGGAGUACUUUGUGGCGAAUUUGGUGUGGAAAUUUGAGUGGAGAACUGUGGAGGGAGAUGACGUGGACCUGUCAGAGAAGCAGGAGUUUACUAUAGUGAUGAAGAAUCCAUUGCAUGCCCACGUAAUCCCUAGAAUUUAAUACGUGUGAGAAUUCUGUACUAAUUAUUCGGUGCAUAUUCAACCGUUGAAUCUAUCCAUGUAUGCUUUUCAUUGAUUAUGUAAUUUUGAAAAUUUAGAUUUUUAGUUUACUAGUCUGAUUCAAGACGGAUUUUAUAACUUCAAUAUUUAGAGAGUGAUUUGUGUGAGAUGUAUUUGCUACUUUUUAGCUUAUAACUAAUACAACUUUCAAAUCUUGGGAAGACAACUUCUGUAUUAGAGACUGCCCAAGAGCAAGGAGCAUUUGAGCAUUUGAGAAUUUGAUGGGAUUGCCUACAUAGGUACAACUCUCCUUUAAUCUUUGUGUUACAGCUUGUCUAAUGACUAAUUCGAAAUCCAAGUUACUGUAGUCUAAACAAAUUCGGUGGAGUAGUGUUUUUGUUUUUACCUUUGCAUAUAUGGAAAUGAAAGAAUAAAUAACUCUUUGAAGACAACUUCUUUCCGACAAAGGUGUUGAGGUACCAUUUCCAUUCAUUGCUUAAUUUGUUAGACUAUGCUUCAUCCCCAAAAUUCAUCAUCUGAAGUAAUCUCAAGUUUUCAACUUCAUGUUUUGAGCCCCAGAGAAAAGGUUAAGCUCUAUGGAACUACUAUAUUUACAGCGAUCUCGAUCUGAUAUGCUAAUAGUAUUAGCACCCAAGUUUUUGUUACAACAGUUGCAUUUUUGCAGAUGGAAAAUAUGACUAGUGUAUUUAUAUUUUUUAUCUUUUUUGUAGGGUGGUGGUUCCGGCACCCAACAAAUUGUGAUCGAAGGCCCCUUAUGCGAGGAUUAUUACAAGAUCUGGGAGUAUCUCUACUCACAAUUUUAUUUGCUUUAAGUAGAGAUACAUAAUGUUAAAUGCCUUCGGAUGAACUGUCAUUUAGUCGUGAUGUUAAUUUCUAGUGAUUUCAUGAAACACCCUAAAGUUUAAUUUAAAUGUAUGACUUAUUUUCCGUUGAAGUUGUGAAUUCUAUUCAUGCAUGAUGGAUCUUCGACACAAAUUGGCAGUUCAAGUAAAUCAUAUUCAAGGAAACAAAUCAUGUUUGAUGAGUUAGAGACGAACGUGUUAACUUCAAAUAGUACCAAGACAUUACAUACAUGCUAAAACUAAACAUCACAAACGAAUCACAGUUAAGCAGUUUAACCUUUUUACGUGACAAAAUAUAGUUGAGUCGGAAUAAUGAGGCAAACAUGACAAGUAAAUUGCCAUGCAUUUUAGCUUUUCAUCGAUACAAUGUUGUGUGAUUGGUUUGCGAUAUUUUGCUCCACCCAAGAGUUGGUCUCCAGGUCAACGUCAACGUUCGUCAGCAAAGGAGCUUUAUCCAUCUAUUUAUAAAAUAUGGAAAAUAACAAUUUAUUAAGCAAACUCAUUUGCCCUUUGUCUGAUUGCCAACGGUUGACCAUGGAAACCUGGUUUGGAAGUUUCAGUGGAGGGCUGUGGAGGGAGAUGACGUUGAUCUGUCAGAGAAGAUGGAGUUUACUGUGGUGAUGAAGAAUCCAUUGCAAUCGUGCAUAAUUCCUAGAACUUAAUAAGUUAGUGAAUUCUGUACUAAUUCUUCGGUGCACCGUUAAAUCCAUCCAUGUAUGCUCUUCAUUGAUUAUGUAAUUUCGAAAAUUUGGAUUUUUAGUUUACUAGUGUGAUUCAAGACCCUUAAUAAAAGGUUUAGUAUUUGAAUCUAACAGAGGACAUGACAUAUAACCAAGCGCAAUGACGUUUUAUGAUUCAUAUAGCCAACCCUACUUAGUGGAAAAAGACUUUGUUGUUGUUGUUGUUGUAGUGUGAUUCAAGACAGAUUUUAUAACUUCAAUAUUUAGUGAGUGAUUUGAGUGAGCUGUAUUUGCUAUCUUGAUGUAAUUGUAAACACGUAUCGGAGAUUAUGAAGUAGCUUGGGUUGAUUCUGAGGCAGGAAAGACAGAAAAUGAAAUGCUAUAUUUACAACCCCUCUUAACCCCGCCUCCACCGCAUGAAUCUGUCCUUGUUGGUGACUUAAAAAUGGCUACUUUCAAGCAAUUUCUUUCCGACAAGGGUGCUUAGAUACCAUUUCCGUUCAUUGCUUAAUUUGUUGGACUAUGUUUCAUCACCAAAAUUCGUUAUAUGAAAUAAUCUUUCUCAACUUCAUGUUUUGUAGCCCAUAGAUAAGGUUAAAUCUCUAUGGAACUACCAUAUAUACAACUAGGGGUGGGCACGGGCCGGGCCGGGCCCAAUUUUGAAGGGACUGGACCGGACCUGGGUUCAAAGAAAACGGGUCAAAGAUUACAUUUUUUAAUAUAGGAACCAGACCUUACCCGGCCCGGUUGAAAUGGGCCAGUUCAGGCUAGGUCCACGGGUCCCUUUUUUUUUUUUGGUUUGAAAAAAAAUAAUAAAAUUUGCACUGAUUGCAAACUGCACUGAUUGCAACUGCACAGAGUCACAGACUGCAUUUAUGCAAAUUUUGCACAAAUUCACCAUUAUUCACAUCCAAUCAAAAAUUCUAAAUACAAAGUCCAACAUUCAAGUUCAUAGAUUAACAAUACAUCCAAAAUAACAAUAUUACAUCGUCCAACAUCUAAAAAUCAAAUCAACAUACAAAUAUCCGAAAGUCCAAGGCAUCCACAAUAAAUUCCAAAUUAACAUCCAAAACCACAUCCAACGUCCAAGUUCUAACAACAAUCCUCAUUGAAUCUGUAAGCAAAAAUAGAAUAUAAACAUGACAUUUUUAACGUCUAAUAUCACAUUAUCCUCAUUGAAUCAUUGAAAUUUAAAGUUUAUUCAUUUGAGUUUAAAAUAUUACCGCAAUUCCUUUUCCUUUAUUCGUUCGAGUUGUUUGAGGAGCUUCAAUUUCAGGAACACUUGGUAAGAUGGUUGAGCUUGUAGAUAUAGUAUUUGCUCUUCUUCUUUUAUAUUCUACAACAAAGAACAAACGUUAAUUGUAAACCAAUUAAUAUAAAGUAUAAAUCAAGCUAUGCAAAACAAAAUAAUUACCUUAUUCACACUCUUGAUAAAAUUCAAGCUCAGCCGAACUUGCUUCAUACUCAAUGUUGCUAAUUGGUUCACAUCUUAACCAAUUUUGGAGGCAUAUCAAUGACUCCAAUGUUUGAGGAAGGAGAGAUGAUCUAAAAGGGUCAAUUACUCACUUUCCUCCACUAAAUGCACUUUCACUGGCAACUAUGGACACUUGAAUUGGCAAGACAUUUUUCGCUAUCAAAGCAAGUGUGGGAUAUGUGCUCCUCCCUUUCAACUUCCACCAUUUCAAAACGUCAAAUUGUGAACCAUAUGGUACUUUCUCUACAAUGUCAAGGAGAUACUUAUCCACCUCAUGUGCAAGCGCAAUAUCUUCGGUGUCUUCUAGUUCAUUCUCCCAAUCAUUUACGAUUUGACUAAAUAUCAUUAGAUUUUCUGUUGGCACACUAGAAGAUGAUUGUUUUACCCUUGAACAAGUAGUGUCAACAAGUAAAUCUUCUCUACCCUUUUGUUGUGUUAUGAACCGAAAGCUUGGUAAGCAUAUUCAUCACACAUUGCCUUCAACAAUGUCUUCACUUCAUUACUUUUCUGUUGAAUCUCUUUUUCAGGAAGCUAUAAUUGCUUUCCACACAAGUGCAUGUAGUGCCUCAAUUUGAACCUUAGGUCUAAGAUAAGGGCAACUACAAAUAUUUGAUUAAGGGAGUCAAUUGAACAAAAAUAUUUUCAAUAUUUGGCUCUCCUGCUAAAUGUCAUAUCACGUAGCACCAACUAUAUACUUUCUCCAGUUUGCAUAUAUUCAGGCAAAAAAAACUUUUCAAUCUCAUUUUCCACAACAUUGACAUCAUGAACAGCUGUAUUAGAUGUGGGAUAUUUACUUGCACUAACUUUCAAAGUUAUAAGAUAGAAGACCUUCAAAAAUUCCACAAACACUUCUACACCAUCCCAAUCUUCCUCUUUAGGUGGUCCAACCCUCCCUUUACUCGCCACUUCUUCUCCUUCAUCAUUAAGCACCUUUUCCCUAAAAUAGGCGGAGUAUAUAUUGGCUUCAUCAUCUUCGGACAUCCUUUCAAAUGCUUUUUUAAACUUUAAGCAAUAUUCUAGCAUCAUGUAUGUGCUAUUCCAUCUAGUAGGCACAUCCAUAACAACUAGACCCAUACUAUCCAACUUCUCAUUCUCCACAUAUUUCUUGAAAUAACUAAACCUUUGGGGACUUGAUCUCACAAACCGCACAACAUUUCUAAGAACAUCCACACUUGUAUCUAAUCUUUUCAACCAAGUUGAUAAUAUGAGCUAAGCACCUCACAUGCAUAAACUUGCCAUUCAUAAUAAUUUUACUAUUAUGCCAUUUCUGCAUUUUACGAACAAUAUACUCAAUUGCCACCUUAUUAGCCGAUGCAUUGUCAACUGAAAUACACAUUACCUUUUCAAUCUCCCACUCAACCAAACAUUGCUCAAUCAUCUUCCCUAUUUCUUUGCCUUCAUGACUUGAAAUCAAACAAAAUUUUAGAAUCAUUUUGUGCAUAUUCCAUUCAUCAUCUACAAAAUGAGCAGUUAGCACCAUGUAGUUCAAAUUUUACACACUUGUCCAUGUAUCAGUAGUCAAGCUCACUCUAUGAUUGUGUAUCUCCCUUUUUAAAUAAUCUUUCAUGGUAUCAUACAUAUUGAAUAACUCCCUCACGAUGGUUCUCCGAGAUGGAACAUGCAAUCUAAGCUGGACUUUGCACAUCAUCCGCCUAAACCCUUCACUCUCCACAACACUAAAAUGUACCUCCUCGAUCACAAUAUACUCAAUAAUACCUUCCACACUUUCUUCUUGGCUCCACCCUUUAGCAACAAGCAUGUUUUUGACAUCCCCCAAAAGGUUCAGAACUGCCUAGAACCUUUUGCAACUCAUUAGUUGGUUUAAAUAACUUGCAAUGUUUAUUGAUAUGUUCAAUGUAAGUACUAGUUCCACCCCCACUAGUAUCACAUGCAAAAAGGGUGUUACAAUAGUUACACUUAGCCUUCAAUACUUGUACCUCCACCAUAUCUUUCUUUCCAUCCUUUUCUACUUCUUGUAUUUCCGAGACGGUACACUUAGUGACAUGAUCCCAAACCCAAGAUCUCUCAGAAGAAGAUCUCUCUAGUGAAGCUAUUAUAGUUGGUUGUUUUGUCUUUAGAAUAUGUGGUGCUUUUCUUUUUCUGGAGGAUGAGGGGUUUGGGGGAGGCAUUGAUGAUUUUGCCUAUGUGGGUUGUGCUUGUGGAAGACAUGGUGAUGUAGCCGUAGAUGAUGCUACAUUAGUAGUAAGGGUACUUUGACUUUGAGAUUGAGACAUUAUGUAAAAAUCUGUAAAAAUUAAAUAAUGGAAGUAUAUUCAUUAAUCAAAUAAAGCUAUUUCGAAAUAUGUACACCAAUUUCAUGAAAUUACCACAAAAUACUAAUCAUCUCAAGAAACCAUUAAAACUUCAGAGUUCAGAUCACGAAUAAAACCAACUACUAAAUCCAUCCCCAUUAAGAGAAAGAAACUAAAUGAAACCAAAUGAAAACAAGAGAAAGACGUGCUCAAUGAAAACAAAGAGAAACCAAAUGAAAGACGUGCUAAAUAAAUCCAUCCCCAUUAAUACUCGAUAUGAAACCAAAUGAAAAUAGGAGAAAGAAACUAUAUGCUAAAAAGAGGAAGAGAGCAAUUUUGAAUCAUGCUAAAUUUGACUUACAUUAGCAAUAUUUUAAAGAAGGGGUGUGAUAUCCACACACCAUUUUUUACUUCUCUCACACCUUUUUGCUUUUUGGCCGUCGGAUCGGAUGAAUUAAAGAAGAUCAACGGACAGAAAUUAACAAGGGUGUGUGAGAAGUAAAAAUGGGUGUGUGAAUAGCACACCCCUUUAAAGAAAAACUAGUUUAAAAAAAAAGUGCAGAUAUAUUAACUAUUAAGUACUUACAUUUGUUGGGUUCCAAAGAAAAGACUAGUGCUUUCUUCCAAUCAAAAGAGUAGCCCCACUUCUCUGGUUCACUUACCUGCAGAAUGAUUAGGAAUAAUUAGGAAUAAGGAGAGAAUCAAACUAUAAGUUCACACACAUUCCCAUAUACUACAGAAACCAAAAUCAUACUAAAUUUGUUUGAGAAGACAUAAACCAAAUCAGAGGCUGUUAUGCUUCUAAAAGAACAUAUGAGCACUCCUAAUGCAAAACAACAUCAAAUGGUCCUUGAUCUGAAAGUGGCUUGUUGACAUCAAUUGUAAUGAAGAAGAUUCCUUUAUUCUUGCAAUGAAGAACAUCCCCUUACAACAAUCUGUAUUAGAGAACCUGUUUAAUGUGCUAAACCUAAAGACAAUAAGAGCACAGCCCCCAAUUACUCAGAAAUUACAAGGAAACAAGGUUGACAUCAGAGGCAACAAAGAAGUAAGCCUACAAGACUAAAAGGAAACAAACAGCCUAGCCUGCAAAGAUUCAGAGAAGUCUGGACACAAAGCCAGGAAUAAUUAGCACUUUAACCCUGCAGAUUAUGAUUGACGAGUGACAACCCAUCUUUGUUUACUUUUACUUUUGUUUGUUGGAUUAGCUAGCACUUUAACAUUCAACAGAAACUAGUAUGUAAAACUUUAAUGUGUUGUUCAUCUGCUACACAUUAGGUUAAUUAAUUUGUGUGUGGGUGUAUGAGUGUCACCCUUCAAAUUCAUGCAGUAAUUGCCAUGGCACUAGUGCCACUGCAGCUAGGCCUUGUCCUCCACCUCCAAUAUAUAUUGAAUUAAUUGCACUUUCAUCCAAGUACCCAUACAUCACUCCAUACAAAAUAAAAACAAAGACUUGUCACAAUAUCACUAAUGCCGGCUUGGUUCUUAAUGUUAUGUUGUAUUUUUAAAUCCAUUUGUAAUUAUAUCGGUCCGUGAAACAAUAAUAUAAAUUGACCAAAUUAAAAUACAGACCAUUGCCAAUGUAUUAUGAAUUAAUUGCGCUUUCAUCAUCCAACAACUCAUACAUUAUUCAAUGAAUAAAAUAAAUAUAUUAAUAAAGAGGAUAAGAUUGAAUAAUAAUAAACAACACUACGAACACGUAUGAUUGAAAGUUGUACUUUUAAACACAUUUGCAAUUUCAUCGGUAGUAUAUAGAAAGAGGGGAAACUUAGUGAACUUAAAACAUGUUUGAAUACUAAGUGAACUAAAGCAGAACAAAUCCCUAAAAAUUGCUUAAGUUCAAAUGGGUUUUCUAUCCGAAAAUCAAAUCUAAUUUCCAAAACAGAUCAAUAUAAGAACAUCUAAAAUUGAAUUGUAUCAUCAUCAACCAAAUCUACACCGGCCAUUGGUGAAACCAAACUCAUACAAUCACCAAAUCACGAACUUUUUGAGAUGCAAUCGAAACACAAAUUGACAACUGUGAACGAUAAGAACUAAGAAGAACUUGACUACAUUGAAUCUGAGAUGACAACUGAGAUUGGAACAUUAGAAAAAACAAACUAAAACUCACCAGAGACAUGGCUGUUCCAGAAAAACGUUUUGCUUAGACUUAGAUCUGAAAUAUGCAAAGCCAAAAAAAACCCAAACUUUGUUAUCAGUGAUUCAGUAUUACAGUGGAAAAAAAAAUGGUAGAUGCAAAAAGAAGAACCCUAAAUGGUGGCAACAGAUCAAUCAUCAAUCUACAAAUGCAAUUCAAAUAUAAAUGACACUGAAUUACAUGGAUUAAACAAGAAUUACAAUCCUACAAAUAAAUGACACUAAAUUUGCCAUGAAAAGUGAAGCUCCACAAUAGGUAAUAACCCAUGGAAAAUCAAAAGAGCAUGUUUGACAGAGAUGCAACUGAAAAUCUAAAACCCAAAUCACUUCCACAGAACCUGAGACCAUGCUUGCAUGCAUCAAUCAAAUCCAAAUGACACGUGGGAAGAUAGUCGACAUUGCCUCGCAUCUACGAGACCCAAAACACAACUUCCCUUCUCCCAUUUGUUCACAAGUGCUCAUAUGGUUUCUAUUCUAUUUUGCGCAAGUAAUAACCCAAAAUUUGUUAUAAGUGAUUCAGUAUUACAGUGGAAAACAAUUGGUAUAUGCGAAGAGAAAAACCCUAAAUGGUGGCAACACAUCAAUCAUCAAUCUACAAAUGCAAUUCAAAUUUUAAGAAAACCCUAAAUGGUGGCAACAGGAUUCAAUCAUCAAUCUACAAAUUCUAACUUAAAACCCCUAAAAUCCCUACACCAGAUAUUCACAAUUUCACAUUAAUAAUAAAACCUAAUUCAAAAUUACCUAAAUUUUAAAGGGAUGAUGGUUGGUAGUGGUACUGGACCACUGGUGGUAGCAGUGUUCGUCGACGGUGGUGAUGGGGUGAUGGUGGUCGCGACGGCGGAUGUGGUACCAUUGUGUUGGUAGCGACGACGCUGUGAGAGUGUGAGAGUUGAAGCUCGAUAGUGGUGAUGGGGUGAUGGGGUGAUGGUGGUUGUGACGGCGGAAGUGGUGCUGUUGUGUUGGUCCCGACGACGUUAAGCAAUGUAAGUGAGAGUCUGAGAGUUGGAGUCGAGGGAAGGGACAGGGAAUGAGUCGAGUCGAGGGAGGGAGAUAUUCUGAGAGACUGAGGGUGAUUCUAGAACUCGGGAGGUGGAAUUGGCUAAAGUAGCCCCGCUUCUCUGGUUCACUUACAUGCAUAAUGAUUAGGAAUAAUUAGGAAUAAGGAGAGAAACAAACUAUAAGUUUACACACAUUCCCGUAUACUACAUAAACCAAAGCCAUGCUAAAUUUGUCGGAGAAGACAGAAACCAAAUCAAAGGUUGUUAUGCUUCUAAAAGAACAUAUGAGCACUCACCUUAUGCAAAACAACAUCAAAUGGUCCUUGAUCUGAAUGUGGCUUGUUUACAUCAAUUGCAAUGAAGAAGAUCCCCUUAUUCCUGCAAUAAAGAAGAUCCCCUUCUAACAAUCUGUAUUAGCAAACCUGUUUAAUGUGCUAAACCUAAAGACAACAAGAGCAGAGCCCCCAAUUAUUGAGAAAUUGCAAGGAAACAAGGUCGACAGUAAAGGCAACAAAGCAGUAAGCCUACAAGACUAAAAGGAAACAAACAGCCUAGCCUGCAAAAAUUCAGAUAAGUCUGGACGCAGAGCCAAGAAUAAUUAGCACUUUAACUUUUGUUUGUGGGAUUAGCUAGCACUUUAACAUUCAACACAAACUAGUAUGAAAAACUUUAAUGUGCAGUUCAUCUGCUACACAUUAAGUUAAUUAAUCUGUGUGUGGGUGUGUGAGUGUCACCCUUCAAAUUCAUGCAGUAUGAGGGGGAAUUCCCACGGCAUUAGUGCCACUGCAGCUAGGCCUUGUCCUCCACCUCCAAUAUAUAUUGAAUUAAUUCCACCUUCAUCCAAGUACCCAUACACCACUCCAUACAAAAUAAAAACAAAGACUUGUCACAAUAUCACUAAUGCCGGCUUGGUUCUUAACGUUAUGUUGUAUUUUUAAAUCCAUUUGUAAUUAUAUCCGUCCGUGAAACAAUAAUAUAAAUUGAUCAAAUUAAAAUACAGACCAUUGCCAAUAUAUUAUGAAUUAAUUGCGCUUUCAUCAUCCAACAACUCAUACAUUAUUCCAUAAAUAAAAUAAAUAUAUUAAUAAAGAGGAGAAGAUGGAAUAAUAAUAAACAACACAACAAACACGUAUGAUUGAAAGUUGUACUUUUUAAACACAUUUACCAUUUCAUCGGUAGUAUAUAGAAAGAGGGGAAACUUAGUGAACUUAAAACAUGUUUGAAUACUAAGUGAACUAAAGCAUAACAAAUCCCUAAAAAUUGCUUAAUUUCAAAUGGGUUUUCUAUCCGAAUCAAAUCUAAUUUCCAAAACAGAUCAAUAUAAGAACAUCUAAAAUUGAAUUGUAUCAUCAUCAACCACAUCUACACCGGCCAUUGGUGAAACCAAACGCUUACAAUCACCGAAUUACGAACUUUUUGAGAUGCAAUAGAAACACAAAUUGACAACUGUGAAUGAUAAGAACUAAGAAGAACUGGACUACAUUGAAUCAGAGACGACAACUGAGAUUGGUACAUUAGAAGAAACAAACUAAAACUCACCAGAGACAUGGUUGUUCCAGAAAAACGUUUCGCUUAGACUUAAAUCUGAAAUACGCAAAGCCAAAAAAAAACCCAAACUUUGUUAUCAGUGAUUCAGUAUUACAGUGGAAAAAAAUUGGUAGAUGCGAAGAGAAUAACCCUAAAUGGUGCAACAGAUCAAUCAUCAAUCUACAAAUGCAAUUCAAAUAUAAAUGACACUGAAUUACAUGGAUUAAACAAGAAUUACAAUUUUACAAAUAUAAAUGACACUGAAUAUGCCAUGAAAAGUUAGGCUCCACAACAGGUAAUAACCCAUGGAAAUUCAAAACAAGCAUGUUCGACAAAGAUGCAACUGAAAAUCUAAAACCCGAAUCACUUCCACAGAACCUGAGACCAUGCUUGCGCGCAUCAAUCAAAUCCAAAUGACACGUGGGAAGAUAGUCGACAUUGCCUCGCAUCUACUAGACCCAAAACACAACUUCCCUUAUCCUCUUUGUUCACGAGUGCUCAUACGGUUUCUAUUCUAUUUUGCGCAGGUAAUAACCUAAAAUUUGUUAUCAGUGAUUCAGUAUUACAAUGGAAAAAAAUUGGUAGAUGCGAAGAGAAGAACCCUAAAUGGUGGCAACACAUCAAUCAUCAAUCUACAAAUGCAAUUCAAAUUUUAAGAAAACCCUAAAUGGUGGCAACAGGAUUCAAUCAUCAAUCUACAAAUUCUAACUUAAAACCCCUAAAAUCCCUACACCAGAUAUUCACAAAUUCACAUUAAUAAUAAAACCUAAUUCAAAAUUACCUAAAUUUUAGAGGGAUGAUGGUUGGUAGUGGUACUGGACCACUGGUGGUAGCAGUGUUCCUCGACGGUGGUGAUAGGGUGAUGGUGGUUGCAACGACGGAGGUGAUGCCAUUGUGUUGGUAGCGACGGCGCUGUGAGAGUCUAAGAGUUGGAGCUCGAUGGUGGCUACGACGGCGGAGGUGGUGCUGUUGUAUUGGUCCUGACGGCAUUAAACACUGUGAGUGAGAGUCUGAGAGUUGGAGUCGAGGGAAGGGACAUGGAGGGAGUCGAGUCGAGGGAAUGAGAGAUUCUGAGAGACUGAGGGUGAUUCUGGAACUCGGGAGGUGGAAUUGGCUAGGGUUGAAACUAACUGUUGAGAUUGGAUGGAGAUAUGAUAUUUUAAAUCUCGUCUGUCCAUUGUAAUUACAAACAGGCCGGUCCGGGUUCUCGCAUUUCUUAUACUUUUAGAACUGGCCCAAACUGAAAACUUCAAAGGCCAGGCCCGGCCCGCCUCGUAUCGUUCUGUUUUUACAAAAUUAGGAACUGGUCCGUACCCGCCCCGACCAGCAAUUCCUGUACCCAUUUGCCCACCCCUUUAUACAACGAUCUUGAUCUGAUUUCUUUGACAUGUUGAAUUUGCUGGUGGGGCGUUGAGAUGCGGUGAAUAUGUGACAUUACGCAAAGCUGGAGAUGCAAGCCAUAAGGUUGGUCAUAUACAGAUAUGCUAAUAGUACUAGCACCUAAAUUUUGGGCACAAUAGUUCCAUAGCAAGAGUUAUGGUUUGCGAAUGGAAAGUCUGACAAGCGUAUGUAUAAUUUGAUCUUUUGUAGGGUGGGGGUUCCGGCACCCAACGAAUUGUGAUCAAAGACCCCUUAUGUGAGGAUUGUUACAAGAUUCGGGAGUAUCUCUACUCACAAUUUUAUUUGCUUUAAGAUCAUCUCCAAUCCUUGGGGAUAAAGCUUAAAAUUUUAAGCCAUAAGUCAGAAUCUGAUUUUCCUUUACAACCCUUAUGGCUUAAAAUUUUAGAUGAUCAAAUAAUGAUUUUAGCCUAACUUUUUGUUUUUGGUAACUUUUUUUGAAAAUAAAAUUUAUGUAGAUUAUCUUAAUUUAUUUUUAUGAACAUUUUAGUCUAAAAAUAUUUAAAUUCUGAUAAGUAAUUAAAAAUCAUACAAAUACAUAGGUGUUUAUAAAGUUUUAAGUUAAAUUUGAUUUAAAUAAUUUUCUUAAUUUUGGGCCGUCAAAUCUUUUUUUUUACUAUUAGAUUUGAUCUCAUUUCAUCGUAGCAGUUAGAUUAUAAGUAAAAAAACAAAAAAAAGUUUGAAAUAUAACAAUUUGGUGGGUUCAAAAUAAUUUAAGCCAGGCUUAAAUCCCGGGAGGAAUUUAGCUUAGAGAUAUAUUUUCUCUCCCGGACUUAUUUUAACCCAUGAUUGGAAAUGGUUUGGGAGGGUUUUUAAAACUUAUAUUUUAAGCUUUAUUUCAUGAGUUGGUGAUGGUCUAAGGGGAGAGACAUAAUAUCUAACGCUUUCGGAUGAACUAACAUUUAAUCGCGAUAUUAACUUCUAGUGAUUCGAGGAAACACACUAAAGUUUAAUUUCAAUGCAGGCCUUAUUUUUGGACCCGGUUUCUCUGCCCUCCCAAUUCCCAUACACUCUCAUCUCUUCCUAUUUUGUGCAAUCACGCUUAAGCCACAUCAACAUUUUAUAUUGAUUUUUUUAUAGAGAUAAUAAGACAAAAAAUAAUAGUGAUAUAAAAUAUUAACGUGACUUAACUGUAAUCGCAUAAAUAGGAGGAGACGAGAGCGUAUAGGGCUAGGAGGGCAGUGUCAUGGUCAGACAUUUUAAGUGAAAGUGACAAUAUGUGCAGCUGAGUCAAUGCAUUGGAAACCUGGUUCCUCAUCAAUAUGCUUAUAAAGUAUGGAAACUAAUAAUUGUUGAGCAAACGCAGUUGCUCUUUGUCUGAUUGCUUACGAUUCACCAUGGAAACCUGGUUCCUUAUCCUCAUCGCCCUCUGCGUCUCCUUCCUCCUCAAACCCCUUCUCUCUCUAUUCCUACCCACUUCCAUCUCCAGACCCAAUCUCCCUCCCGGGCCUCGCUUCUUCCACAUCAUCGAAGGCUUCUUAUUCCUCCUCAAAUCUUCCUUGGAGCUCGAGCCUAUUAUCCGCAAACUCCAGGCCGAAUACGGGCCCAUCAUCUCCCUCCCCAUCGGCUCCCGCUCUACCGUCUUCGUCGCCGAUCGCUCCCUCGCCCACCAGGCCUUAAUCCAGAACGGAGCCGUGUUCGCCGACCGCCCCCUGGCCUUGGCCACCAACAAGUGCGUCAGCAGCAACCAGCACACUAUCGGCUCCGCCGUCUACGGCCCCUUGUGGCGCCUCCUACGCCGCAACCUCACCUCUGAAAUCCUUCACCCUUCCCGCGUCAAAUCCUACGGCAACGCCCGCAAAUGGGUUCUCGACAUCCUCGUCAACCGCCUCAAAACCGAGUCUCAAUCCCACUCCGAAGCUGCCGCCACCGGAGUCAGGGUGGUCGACCACUUCCAAUACGCCAUGUUCUGCCUCCUGGUUCUGAUGUGCUUCGGCGACAAAUUGAACGAAGAGCAAAUCAAAGAAAUCAAGCGCGUGCAGCGCCAACUACUUUUGAGUUUCGGGCGGUUCAAUAUCCUCAAUUUCAAGCCGAAAUUGACGAAGAUUAUCUUCAAAAAUCGGUGGCGGCAAUUAUUUAAAAUCCUCGAGGAACGACGAGAAGUGCUCCUCCCUCUGAUUCGAGCACGACAAAAUAGGGCAAAGCAGGGCAGCAAAACCGACGACAAAGAUGAUGAAUUUGUGUUGUCGUAUACAGAUACGCUGCUGGACCUCGAGCUUCCCGACGGCAACGAAAAGCGGAAGCUUUCGGAGGGAGAAAUGGUCAGCCAAUGCUCAGAGUUUCUGGAUGCCGGCACCGACACGACUUCCACCGCGCUGCAGUGGAUCAUGGCCAACGUAGUGAAGUACCCGCAAGUUCAGGAGAAGCUGUUUGCCGAGAUUAAAGGGGUGAUGGGAGAAACGGAGGACGAGGUGCGGGAGGAGGUCCUGCACAAGCUGCCGUAUCUGAAAGCCGUGAUCUUGGAGGGGCUGAGGCGCCACCCGCCGGCGCACUUUGUGCCGCGCGCGGUGACGCAUGACGUGGAUUUGGGCGGACACGUGGUGCCCAAGAACGGGAGUGUUAGUUUCAUGCUGGCGAGUAUAGGGUGGGACCCGCAAGUGUGGGAGGACCCCAUGGCGUUCAAGCCGGAGAGGUUCUUGGGCAGCAGUGGAGGAGAAGAAGGGUUCGAUUUGAGGGGGAGCAGGGAGAUUAAGAUGAUGCCGUUUGGGGCAGGGAGGAGGAUCUGUCCAGGGUCGGGAUUGGCGGUGCUUCACCUGGAGUACUUUGUGGCGAAUUUGGUGUGGAAAUUUGAGUGGAGAACUGUGGAGGGAGAUGACGUGGACCUGUCAGAGAAGCAGGAGUUUACUAUAGUGAUGAAGAAUCCAUUGCAUGCCCACGUAAUCCCUAGAAUUUAAUACGUGUGAGAAUUCUGUACUAAUUAUUCGGUGCAUAUUCAACCGUUGAAUCUAUCCAUGUAUGCUUUUCAUUGAUUAUGUAAUUUUGAAAAUUUAGAUUUUUAGUUUACUAGUCUGAUUCAAGACGGAUUUUAUAACUUCAAUAUUUAGAGAGUGAUUUGAGUGAGCUGUAUUUGCUACUUUUUAGCUUAUAACUAAUACAACUUUCAAAUCUUGGGAAGACAACUUCUGCAUUUAGAGACUGCCCAAGAGCAAGGAGCAUUUGAGAAAUUGAUGGGAUUGCCUACAUAGGUACAACUCUCCUUUAAUCUUUGUGUUACAGCUUGUCUAAUGACUAAUUCGAAAUCCAAGUUACCGUGGUUUGAACAAAUUCGAUGGAGUAGUGUUUUUAUUUUUACCUUCGUAUAUAUGGAAAUGAAAGAAUAAACAACUCUUUGAAGACAACUUCUUUCCGACAAAGGUGUUCAAUUACCAUUUCCGUUCAUUGCUUAAUUUGUUAGACUAUGCUUCGUCCCUAAAAUUCGUCAUCUGAAGUAAUCUCAAGUUUUCAACAUCAUGUUUUGAGCCCCAGAGAUAAGGUUAAGCUCUAUGGAACUACUAUAUUUACAGCGAUCUCGAUCUGAUAUGCUAAGGGUGCGUUUGUUGCGCCGGACUGUCUCGGAUUGGACUAGCUGCCGGGACUAAGCUGGACUGGCUUAGACUGGACUAAGCUGGACUAACUUAGUGAAGCGUUUGGUGUAAUGUCGGACUAAGAAGCAGGAUAAGAAAAACAGUACUGUUCACCAGAUUUGUGUUUGCUUAGACUAGGAUUACAAAUUUUUGCCAUUGUGUAAUAGAGUAAUGCUACAAAUCUCAUGAUAUGGGUUAAUUGGAGCAUAUUUUUGCCAUGUAUAUUAUGAAUCUUAAAAAAAAAUUGACAAUUGUUUUGUUUCUAUUACCUGCUAAUAGAAUUGGGUUUAAUUUGCAAAUGUAGCUUGGUUUAAACUCUAUCACCCAACAGAAGAAAAAUAAUAGUGCCCAAUACAUGCAACUUCAACAAAUACAAGUACAUAAGAAGAUCUCCAUAAUUUAGAAAAUCCUAGUUAACAUUAGCCAAAAUAGAUCUCCAUAAUUUACAAAAUGGCUAGUUAACAUAAGCCAAAAUACUAGUGCAAAGCUAAGUUAUAAGCCAUAACAUAAGAUUGUAUGAUUAAUAAAAUACAUCCAUGUUAACAUUAAUAAAAUACAUCCAUGUUAACAUUAGCCAAAAUCCUCAUCCGCUUGCGUUGUCGCUUAAAAGCCUUUGGACGAACACUUUCUUGAGUUCCGGUUUGAUUGCCCUGAACACUCCCACAUUUUUUGGUUUAUCCAAAAUAAGAGACAAUGCAUCAAUUUGAUCCAUAGGAGAGAGACCCAUUGCUUCAAGUUCAUUAGCUAUGUCAGUAUGAUCUGCAGUACCUUGAACUAAAGCUUCAGUUACCAUUUGCAUCCUCUUCCCACUUUCAACAUAAAAAUCUUUCAGUCCACUGAUAAUUGCCUCGGUUCCAUCACUUGAACUUCCCACAGCUCUUUUCCUCUUUCUUUGGCUAUUUUCAGAUGGGGUGCUUUGUUGGCUUUUGUUGGUUCAUUGAAGAAACAAAAUUUUCACCUCCAAUAUCACUUUCACCAACAUGAUCAUAACUUUGUUCCUCCACCAUUUGAGCAGGGGUUUCGGCUACAUUACCCGUAGCCCGAUCUUUUCCAAAUAUAUAUGCAAAUCUAUCAAACAGUGGAAAAGGUUUGCUUCUCCAUCCAUCGGCUUCUUUAUUUCUCUAAGAUUAUAUCAACAUAGCAAAACUAAAAUUUAGCAUGCGUAACAAAUAUAGCAGCAAUAAUAUAACUAAUGUAUAAAUAAAAUAGGAUAUGAACCUGCACAUAAGUUUGCCAUGAGUCAUCACUGUCAACUUCAACGCACUUUUUGACAUCAUUCCAUGCAAAUCCACUUGUGUUUAUCAUGUCAACGACCAUACUAUAUGUUUUUUUUUCCAUUUCUUCAACUUGGACUCAAUAUGUAGAUUUGCCUUUAUAUUUGAAUGAGGACAUAAAACAUUGACAGCUUUUGCUAUUUCAACCAAAGUACCUUGUUUGAAAGCACCGGUGUCACACCGUUGCUUCCGAGCAACAAAAUCCUCAAGAACUCCUAGUAAUACUUCUUCCUCAAAUGCUUCCCAUUUACGCCUUCUUCCUUUUGGCUCUUGAGUAGCAUUCAAAAUAUUUUCGUUAUCCAUACCUAAACAAAAAAUAUUUUAAUGAAGGAAAAUACCAUACAAAUAAUCAAUCUGCAUAAUAUCCAAUCAACUUACAUAAUAUCCAAUCAACUUGCAUAAUAUCCAAUUAAUUUGCAUACCAUCCAAUCAUUGUGCUAAUAUCUAACAAAUGCAUGAUAAAAAGGAAUACUAAAAUAAAAUGUUAUCAUUAACACAUAUAGCUAGUUCGGUUGCUGGUUCCUAAUUGCUCUCCACUCGUUAUACAUUUCCUGAGCCAUAUCAUUCCUCUUUGCAGUCCACUGGUCAGAUGUUUGAACACUACCAACAUAUUCACCUUCUUCUGUAUUUUGUCCAUCUUCUAUUAUUGGCAAAUUCUCCAUUGGAUCUACAGACAUCUCUUGCCUAAUAAGAUUGUGUAGUAGGCAACAAGCGGUAAUUAUUCGACCUUGUGUCCUUAUCGGAUAGAAAGAUGGACUCCUUAGUAUCGACCACCUUCCUUUUAGCAAGCCAAAACAGCGUUCAAUUACAUUCCUUGCCUUAGAAUGAUUCAUGUUAAAAUAUUCUUCCUUAUUAGAAGGUGUUCGUCCCUCCCAUUCAGAUAAAUGAUAAGGUAUUCCUCUAUAGGGUGCAAGGAAUCCUUCACCAUUUGUAUAACCACCAUCUACAAGGUAAUAAUAACCUAAUGAAAAAAAAAACAGACCUUAUUAGUGUUUUGUAGUUGACAAACAGAACUAGACCUAACUUACAAAGUUGAGACUAAGUAAUAGUCUUACCCGCUGGUACCUUAAAACCAUUAGGCAUAGUAAUUGCAUCAUGUAGCACUCUAGAGUCUGAUGCGGAACCCUCCCACCCCAGAAACACAUAUAUGAACUGCAUAUCUCCUGAACACACACCUAACACAUUAGUUGCGACUCGACCCUUUCUUGUUCGGUAUCUUGGUUUGUCAAUUUCAGGUACAUGCACAUCAAUGUGUGUUCCAUCCAAUGCUCCCAAACAAUUCUUAAAAAAAAAAAAAAAAAAAAAAAGUUUUUGUUAAUUUAUACAAAGGGAAUGAAGAGUUAAAGCUUAGGGAAAAUGAAAAAAAAUUCUCAUCAUACCUUAAAACAUCGCCACCUAGGAUCUGUAGAAUCAAUAGGCACAGGCUGUGGGACUUUCAGUAGGAUACCUUGUAAUCGCAAAAUUCCUUGCAAUACGCUAUUAAAAUACCUACUUAUAGUCUCUCCCGACCUAUAAAAUCUACCGCCAACACUACGAUUCUUAGUAUGAUGUGCUAAUAUUUGUAAAGUCAUACACACCUGCUCCUCUACAGACACCAAACCAUCAGUUUUUACCCUCACAUCUUGACGAAGUAAGUCACAUAAUAUGUCAAAAGUCCUUCUAUCCAUUCUCAAUUCGUUGACACAUUCAGUAUCAGUAUUCCCUAUUAUACCAUUCAGAUAACACAAACUAAUCUCUCGUCUAAUAAGUGAACGGUUAGUCAAUGUGGGUCGUUCAACAUGUCUCUGUUUGCCACGUAGCAUCAUCAACACAAGAAUCGUACAAAUGCAAAUUGUCUCCAAAUAAGACAUCUCUAACAAUAAGAUCAAUAAAAGCUUCCUUCGAUCCAUAUCUAUCCAAACAAAAAAAAAAACAAAAAACAAAUUAAGGACAUUAUAUAUGUAAUAUUUACUGUUAUUAAGGGUGAUGGAAAUGAAGUGAUUAUGAUACGAAAUGAACUAGAUCAAAGUAACUAGCGAAGUCACAAUCCGAGGCAUCAAAUAUACGGGUGGUGUUGGAAAAAAAAAGCUAUCAUUAACCCGAGGCAACAAAUAUACAGGUGGCGUUGAAAAAAAAAAUUAUCAUUAACCCGAGGCAACAAAUAUACAGGUGGCGUUGAAAAAAAAAAAGUUAUCAUUAACCCGAAGCAUCAUAUUCAAAAUGUUCUACUCUUAUACAUCUAUAAACAUGUGUCUAAGAACACUAGUAUGAGGAUUGCUAUCAUUGCUAGGCAUUGCAUAUGAAGAGGGAAAUUAAAGGACACCUGUAAUGCAGUAGCCUUAGCCUUAGCCUUCUGUUUAUGCUCCUCUUCUCUGCAACCAACAACCACAAAAAAUUGCAAUUCAGCAUCAACCCCACACAAUACAAAACAUUCACAUUGUAAUAUCAUGGUUAUAAACCAAGUACACACACACACACUCAUGGACAAAUGUGCAAAAUACACAUACAUACUCACACUCACACUCACACUAACACACACACACGAACAUACACACUCUCACACACGGACAUACACUCACACACACUCAUGGACAAAUGUGCAAAAUACACAUACAUACUCACACUCACACUCACACUAACACACACACAUGGACAUACACACUCUCACACACGGACAUACACUCACACACACCCUGCAUACAUACAUACACACACACACACACACACUGCAUACAUACAUACACACACACACACACACUGCAUAUAUACAUACACACACACACACAUACUCACACUGCAUACACACACACACACACACUGCAUACAUAGACACACACACACACUGCAUACAUACACACACACACACACACACACACACACACACACUGCAUACAUACACACACACACACACGGCAUACAUACACACACACACACACACACUGCAUACAUACACACACACACACACACUGCAUACAUACACACACACACACACUGCAUACACACACACACUGCAUACACACACACAAACAUACUCACACGGACAUACACACUCUUACACACGGACAUACACUCACACACACCCUGCAUACAUACAUACAUACACACACACACACACUGCAUACAUACAUACACACACACACACUGCAUACAUAGACACACACACACACACUGCAUACAUAGACACACACACACACUGUAUACACACACACACACACACUGCAUACAUACACACACACACACACACACUGCAUACAUACACACACACACACACACGGCAUACAUACACACACACACACACACACUGCAUACAUACACACACACACACACACGGCAUACAUACACACACACACACACACACACACUGCAUACAUACACACACACACACACUGCAUACAUACACACACACACACACACUGCAUACAUACACACACACACACUGCAUACAUACACACACACACACACACUGCAUACAUACACACACACACACACACUGCAUACAUACAUACACACACACACACACACACGGCAUACAUACACACACACACACACUGGUCAGCUGCACACACUGCACUCACACAGACAUACACACUCUCACACACGGACAUACACUCACACACACACUGCAUACAUACACACACACACACACACUGCAUACAUACACACACACACACACACUGCAUACAUACACACACACACACACACUGCAUACACACACACACACACACACACACACUGCAUACAUAGACACACACACACACUGCAUACAUACACACACACACACAUUGCAUACAUACAUACACACACACGGCAUACAUACACACACACACACUGCAUACACACACACACACAUACACUGCAUACAUAGACACACACAUACACUGCAUACAUACACACACACACACACUGCAUACAUACACACACACACACACACACUGCAUACAUUCACACACACACACACACACGGCAUACAUACACACACACACACACUGCAUACAUACACACACACACACACACUGCAUACAUACACACACACACACACACACACACACACACACACACACACACACACACUGCAUACAUACACACACACACAUUGCAUACAUACACACACACACACACUGCAUACAUACACACACACACACACUGCAUACACACACACACUGCAUACACACUCACACACAUACACACUCUCACACACGGACAUACACUCUCACACACUGACAUACACUCACACCCUGCAUACAUACACACACACACUGCAUACACACACACACACUGCAUACACACACACACACACACUGCAUACACACUCACACACAUACUCACACGGACAUACACACUCUCACACACGGACAUACACUCACACACACCCUGCAUACAUACAUACAUACACACACACACACACUGCAUACAUACAUACAUACACACACACACACUGCAUACAUACACACACACACACACACACAGAUUACACACACACACACAGAGUAUACACAAACAGAGAUUACACGCACACAUAGAGUAUACACACACACACAGACAAACCAGAGUACACACACACAUAGUAUACACACACAUGCACACACACACAGACACACACAGAGAUUACACACACAGAUUCUAAUCUCAAUUUGACCUAAAAAUUGAUUUUGAAGUUUACCAGAAAAGUUGAAAUACGAAAACCCCAAAUUCUAAUCUGAAUUUGAACUAAAAAUAUGAAAACCCCAAAUUCUAAUCUCAAUUCGACGAAAUCAAUCGAAGAUUUGAAGCUUACCAGACUGUCUCCGACCAGAUGAGGGCGAGAAUACGCAGAGAUGAGGGUGAGGAUGACGACGACGAGGAAGCAGGGCAAGGUCGACGACGAGCGACGAGCAGGACGAAGGACGUUGGGGAUCCUCGCAGAGAUGAGGACGAGCAGGACGUUGGGGAUCCUCGCGGUUUUCUCUCCGAGCUUACGAGUCCGCCCAAAAUUGGGGUUCUUCGUUAAGAACUCGUAAUGAGGCGUGUAAUCCGAGCGAGUCCCACCUAAGCCCAUUAAAGCUAAUCCGGUUGCACACCAAACACAGGACUAUAGUCUAGUCCAGUCCAAGCCUUGCUAAUCCUGUCAAACAAACGUGCCCUAAUAGUAUUAGCACCCAAGUUUUUGGUACAACAGUUGCAUUUUUGCAGAUCGAAAAUAUGACUAGCGUAUUUAUAUUUUUUAUCUUUUUUGUAGGGUGGUGGUUUUGGCACCCAACAAAUUGUGAUCGAAUGCCCCUUAUGCGAGGAUUAUUACAAGAUUCGGGAGCAUCUCCACUCACAAUUUUAUUUGCUUUAAGUAGAGAUACAUAAUAUCAAACGCCUUCGGAUGAACUGUCAUUUAGUCGCGAUGUUAAUUUAUAGUGAUUUCACAACACUAAAAGGUACCUCCUCGAUCACAAUAUACUCAACAAUACCUUCCACACUUUCUUCUAGGCUCCACCCUUUAGCAACAAGCUUGUUUUUGACAUCCUCAAAAGGUCCAGAACUGCCUAGAACCUUUGGCAACUCAUCAGUUGGUUUAUAUGACUUGCAAUGUUUAUUGAUAUGUUUAAUGUAAGCACUAGUUCCACCCCCCACUAGUAACACAUGAAAAAAGGGCAUUACAAUGGUUACACUUAGCCUUCCAUACUUGUACCUCCACCAUCUCUUUCUUUCCAUCUUUUUCUACUUCAUGUAUUUUCGAGACGGUACACUUAGUGACAUGAUCCCAAACCCAAGAUCUCUCAGAAGAAGAUCUCUCUAGUGAAGCUAUUAUAGUUUGUUGUCUUGUCUUUGGAAUAAGUGGUGCUUUUCUUUUUUUUUGGAGGAUGAGGGGUUUUGGGGAGGUAUUGAUGAUUUUGCCUGUGUGGGUUGUGCUUGUGUUGGUUGUGGAGGACAUGGUGAUGUAGCCAUAGAUGAUGCUACAUUAGUACUAGGGGUACUUUAACUUUGAGAUCGAGACAAUAUGUAAAAAUUUGUAAAAAUUAAAUAAUGGAAGUAUAUUCAUUAAUCAAAUAAAGAUAUUUUGAAAUAUGCACACCAAUUUCAUGAAAUUACCACAAAAUACUAAUCAUCUUAAGAAACCAUUAAAACUUUAGAGUUCAGAUCACGAAUAAAACCAACUACUAAAUCCAUCCCCAUUAAGAGAAAGAAACUAAAUAAAACCAAAUGAAAACAAGAGAAAGACGUGCUAAAUGAAAACAAAGAGAAACCAAAUGUAAGACGUGCUAAAUAAAUCCAUCCCCAUUAAUACUCGAUAUGAAACCAAAUGAAAAUAGGAGAAAGAAACUAUAUGCUAAAAAGAGGGAUAGAGCAAUUUUGAAUCAUGCUAAAUUUGACUUACAUUAGCAAUAUUCAAAGAAAAACUAGUUAAAAGAAAAACGUGCGGAUCUAUUAACUAUUAAGUACUUACAUUUAUUGGGUUCCAAAGAAGAAGACUAGUACUUUCUUCCAAUCAACAGAGUAGCCCCACUUCUCUGGUACACUUACCUGCAGAAUGAUUAGGAAUAAUUAGGAAUAAAGAGAUAAUCAAACUAUAAGUUUACACACAUUCUUGUAUACUACAGAAACCAAAACCAUGCUAAAUUUGUCUGAGAAGACAAAAACCAAAUCAGAGGCUGUUAUGCUUCUAAAAGAACAUAUGAGCAGUCACCUUAUGCAAAACAACAUCAAAGGGUCCUUGAUCUGAAAGUGGCUUGUUUACAUCAAUUGCAAUGAAGAAGAUCCCCUUAUUCCUGCAAUGAAGAAGAUCCCCUUACAACAAUCUGCAUUAACAAACCGGUUUAAUGUGCUAAACCUAAGGACAACAAGAGUAGAGCCCCAAAUUACUGAGAAAUUGCAAGGAAACAAGGUCGACAACAGAGGCAACAAAGCAGUAAACCUACAAGACUAAAAGGAAACAAACAGCCUAGCCUGCAAAGAUUCAGAGAAGUCUGGGCGCAGAGCCAGGAAUAAUUAGCACUUUAACCCUGCAAAUUAUGAUUGACGAGUGACAACCCAUCUUUGUUUACUUUUACUUUUGUUUGUUGGAGUAGCUAGCACUUUAACAUUCAACAGAAACUAGUAUGUAAAACUUUAAUGUGCUGUUCGUCUGCUACACAUUAAGUUAAUUUAUCUAUGCGUGGGUGUGUGAGUGUCACCCUUCAAAUUCAUGCAGUAUGAGGGGGAAUUCCCAUGGCCCUAGUGCCACUGCGGCUAGGCCUUGUCCUCCACCUCCAAUAUAUAUUGAAUUAAUUGCACUUUCAUCCUAGUACCCAUACACCACUCCAUACAAAAUAAAAAUAAAGACUUGUCACAAUAUCACUAAUGCCGGCUUGGUUCUUAACGUUAUGUUGUAUUUUUAAAUCCAUUUGUAAUUAUAUCGGUCCGUGAAACAAUAAUAUAAAUUGAUCAAAUUAAAAUACAAACCAUUGCCAAUAUAUUAUGAAUUAAUUGCGCUUUCAUCAUCCAACAACUCAUACAUUAUUCCAUGAAUAAAAUAAAUAUAUUAAUAAAGAGGAGAAGAUGGAAUAAUAAUAAACAACACAACGAACACGUAUGAUUAAAAGUUGUACUUUUUAAACACAUUUGUAAUUUCAUCGGUAGUAUAUAGAAAGAGGGGAAACUUAGUGAACUUAAAACAGGUUUGAAUACUAAGUGAACUAAAGCAGAACAAAUCCCUAAAAAUUGCUUAAGUUCAAAUGAGUUUUCUAUCCGAAAAUAAAAUCUAAUUUCCAAAACAUAUCAAUAUAAGAACAUCUAAAAUUGAAUUGUAUCAUCUUCAACCAAAUCUACAUCGGCCGUUUGUGAAACCAAAUGCAUACAAUCACCGAAUUACGAACUUUUUGAGAUGCAAUCGAAACACAAAUUGACAACUGUGAAUGAUAAGAACUAAGAAGAACUAGACUACAUUGAAUCAAAGACGACAACUGAGAGUGGAAACGUUUCGCUCAGACUUAGAUCUGAAAUAUGCAAAGCAAAGAAAAACCCAAACCUUGUUAUUAGUGAUUCAAUAUUAGAGUGGAAAAAAAUUGGUAGAUGCGAAGGGAAGAACCCUAAAUGGUGGCAAUAGAUCAAUCAUCAAUCUACAAAUGCAAUUCAAAUAAAAAUGACACUGAAUUACAUGGAUUAAACAAGAAUUACAAUCUUAUAAAUAUAAAUGACAAUGAAUGUGCCAUGAAAAGUGAAGCUCCACAACUGGUAAUAACGCAUGGAAAAUCAAAAUAAGCAUGUUCGACAUAGAUGCAACUGAAAAUCUAAAACCUGAAUCACUUCCAUAGAACCUAAGACCAUGCUUGCAUGCAUCAAUCAAAUCCAAAUGACACGUGGGAAGAUAGUCGACAUUGCCUCGCAUCUACUAGAACCAAAACACAACUUCCCUUCUCCCCUUUGUUCACGAGUGCUCAUACGGUUUCUAUUCUAUUUUGCACAGGUAAUAACCCAAAAUUUGUUAUCAAUGGUUCAAUAUUACAGUGGAAAAAAAUUGGUUGAUGCAAAGAGAAGAACCUUAAAUUGUGGCAACAGAUCAAUCAUCAAUCUACAAAUGCAAUUCAAAUUUUAAGAAAACCCUAAAUGGUGGCAAUAUGAUUCAAUCAUCAAUCUACAAAUUCUAACUUAAAAAGGUCGUACCCAGUGCACAAGGCUCCCGCUUUACGCAGGGUCUGGGAGAGGUGAAUGUCGGCUAGCCUUACCCCCAUUUUAUGGAGAGGCUGCUCCCAAGUCUCGAACCCGAGACCUACCGCUCAUGGGCGAAGGCACUUGCCAUCGCACCAAGUGCGACCUCUUCUACAAAUUCUAACUUAAAACCCCUAAAAUCCCUACACCAGAUAUUCACAAUUUCGCAUUAAUAAUAAAUCCUAAUUCAAAAUUACCUACAUUUUAGAGGGAUGAUGGUUGGUAGUGGUAUUGGACCACUGGUGGUAGCGGUAUUGAACCACUGGUGGUAGCAGUGUUCCUCGACGGUGGUGAUGGGAUGAUGAUGGUCGCGAUGGCGGAGGUGGUGCCGUUGUGUUGGUAGCGACGAAGCUGUGAAAGUCUGAAAGUUGGAGCUCAAUGGUGGUGAUGGGGUGAUGGUGGUCGCGACGGUGGAGGUGGUGCUGUUGUGUUAGUCCCAACGUCGUUAAGCACUGUGAGUUAGAGUCUGAGAGUUGGAGUUAAGGGAAAGGACAAGGAGGGAGUCGAGUCGAGGGAGGGAGAGAUUCUGAAAGACUGAGGGUUGUUUUGGAACUCGGGAGGUGGAAUUGGCUAGAGUAGCCCCACUUCUCUGGUUCAUUUACCUACAGAAUGAUUAGGAAUAAUUAGGAACAAUGAGAGAAACAAACUAUAAGUUUACACACAUUCCCGUAUACUACAAAAACCAAAACCAUGCUAAAUUUGUCUUAGAAGACAAAAACCAAAUCAAAGGCUUUUAUGCUUCUAAAAGAACAUAUGAGCACCCACCUUAUGCAAAACAACAUCAAAGGGUCCUUGACCUAAAAGUGGCUUGUCUACAUCAAUUGCAAUGAAAAAGAUCCCCUUAUUCCUGCAAUGAAGAAGAUCCCCUUACAACAAUCUGUAUUAGCAAACCUGUUUAAUGUGCUAAACCUAAAGACAACAAGAGCAGAGCCCCCAAUUACUGAGAAAUUGCAAGGAAACAAGGUCGACAGUAGAGGCAACAAAGCAGUAAGCCUACAAGACUAAAAGGAAACAAAUAGCCUAGCCUGCAAAGAUUUAAAGAAGUCUGGGCGCAGAGUUAGGAAUAAUUAGCACUUUAACCCUACGGAUUAUGAUUGACAAGUGACGACCCAUCUUUGUUUACUUUUACUUUUUUUUGUUGGAUUAGCUAGCACUUUAACAUUCAACAGAAACUAGUAUGUAAAAUUUUAAUGUGCUGCUUAUCUGCUACACAUUAAGUUAAUUAAUCUAUGCGUGGGUGUGUGAGUGUCACCCUUCAAAUUCAUGCAGUAUAAGGGGGGAAUUCCCAUGGCACUAGUGCCACCGUAGCUAGGCCUUGUCCUCCCCCUCCAAUAUAUAUUGAAUUAAUUGCACCUUCAUCCAAGUACCCAUACACCACUCCAUACAAAAUAAAAACAAAGACUUGUCACAAAUAUCACCAAUGCCGGCUUGGUUCUUAACGUUAUGUUGUAUUUUUAAAUCCAAUUGUAAUUAUAUCGGUCCGUGAAACAAUAAUAUAAAUUGAUCAAAUUAAAAUACAGACCAUUGUCAAUGUAUUAUGAAUUAAUUGCGCUUUCAUCAUCCAACAACUCAUACAUUAUUCAAUGAAUAAAAUAAAUAUAUUAAUAAAGAGGAGAAUAUGGAAUAAUAAUAAACAACACAACGAACACGUAUGAUUGAAGGUUGUACUUUUUAAACAUAUUUGCAAUUUCAUCGAUAGUAUAUAGAAAGAGGGGAAACUUAGUGAACUUAAUUUUGGGCCGUCAAAUCUGUUUUUACUAAUAUAUUUGAUCUCAUUUGAUCGUAGCCGUUAGAUUAUAAGUAAAAAAACAAAAAAAAAGUUUGAAAUAUGAUAAUUUAGUGGGUUCAGAAUAAUUUAAGCCAAGCUUAAAUCCUGGGAGGAAUCUAGCUGAGAAAUAUAUUUUCUCUCCCAGGCUUAUUUUAGCCCAUGAUUGGAGAUGGUUUGGGAGUGUUUUAAAACAUAUAUUUUAAGUUUUAUUUCAUGAGUUGGUGAUGGUCUAAGGGGAGAGACAUAAUAUCUAGGAUUUGGAUUCUCUCAUGAGCUAAUGGAGAGGAUCCUCCUGACCAACAUAUGUGGACCGUUGGAUGAAAAUUCAACGGCUACAAACAGAAUGUUCUUUUAAAGUUAUAAUAAUUAUAGCCGUUGAAUUUUCAUCUAACGGUCCAUAUACGUUGCUUAGGAGGAUCCUCUCCUUAAGCUCAGGAGAGGAUCCAAAUCCUAAUAUCUAACGCUUUCGGAUAAACCGACAUUUAAUCACGAUAUUAACUUCUAGUGAUUCGAGGAAACAUACUAAAGCUUAAUUUCAGUGCCGGCCUUAUUUUUGGACCCAGCUUCUCUGCCCUUCCAGUUCUCAUACACUCCCAUCCCCUCCUAUUUUGUUUCGUGCGGUCACGAUUAAUCCACGUCAAUAUUUUAUAUUGAUCUUUUUAUAGAGAUAAUAAGACAAAAAGUAAUAGUGAUAUAAAAUGUUAACAUAGUUUAACUGUUAUCGCAAAAAUAAGAGGAGAUAAGAGUGUAUGAAAACUAGGAAUGCAGAGAAGCCAGGUCCCUUAUAUUUUGUCGAACUUGUCAUGGUCAGACAUUUUAAGUGAAAGUGACAAUAUGUGCAGCUGAGUCAAUGCGGUCGAAACCUGGUUCCUUAUCAAUCUCCUUACAAAGUAUCGAAACUAAUAAUUAUUGAGCAAACGCAAUUGCCCUUUUGUCUGAUUGCCGACGGUUGACCAUGGAAACCUGGUUCCUGAUCCUCAUCGCCUUCUGCGUCUCCUUCCUCCUCAAACCCCUUCUUUCCCUAUUCCUACCCACUUCCAUCUCCAAACCCAAGCUCCCUCCUGGGCCCCGCGUCUUCCCCGUCAUCGGCGGCUUCUUAUUCCUCCUCAAAUCCUUCUCGGAGCUCGAGCCUAUCAUCCGCAAACUCAAGGCCAAACACGGGCCCAUUAUCUCCCUCCGCAUCGGCUCCCGCCCGGCCGUCUUCAUCGCCGACCGCUCCCUCGCCCACCAGGCCUUAAUCCAGAACGGCGCCGUGUUCGCCGACCGCCCCCGGGCCUCGGCCACCAACAAGUACUCCAGCAGCAACCAGCACAACAUCAGCUCCGCCAUCUACGGCCCCACUUGGCGCCUCCUCCGCCGCAACCUCACCUCCGAAAUCCUUCACCCUUCCCGGGUCAAAUCCUACGGCAACGCCCGCAAAUGGGUUCUCGACAUCCUCGUCAACCGCCUCAAAACCAAGUCUCAAUCCCACUCCGAAGGCGCCAGCGCCGGCGUCAGGGUGGUCGACCACUUCCAAUACGCCAUGUUCUGCCUCCUGGUUCUGAUGUGCUUCGGUGACAAAUUGAACGAAGAGCAAAUCAAAGAAAUCGAGCGGGUGCAGCGCCAAUUUCUUUUGAGUUCCGGGCGGUUCAAUAUCCUCAAUUUCACCCCUAAAUUGACGAAGAUUAUCUUCAAAAAUCGGUGGCGGCAAUUCUUCAAAAUCCUCGAGGAACGACGAGAAGUGCUCGUCCCUCUGAUUCGAGCAAGACAAAACAAGGCAAAGCAGGGCAGCAAAAACGACGACAAUGACGAUGAAUUUGUGUUGUCGUAUACUGAUACGCUGCUGGACCUCGAGCUUCCCGACGGAAACAAAAAGCGGAAGCUUUCGGAGGGAGAAAUGGUCAGCCUCUGCUCAGAGUUUCUGAACGGCGGCACCGACACGACUUCCACCGCGCUGCAGUGGAUCAUGGCCAACGUAGUGAAGUACCCGCAAGUUCAGGAGAAGCUGUUUGCGGAGAUUAAAGGGGUUAUGGGAGAAACGGAGGACGAGCUGCGGGAGGAGGUCCUGCACAAGCUGCCGUAUCUGAAAGCCGUGAUCUUGGAGGGGCUGAGGCGCCACCCGCCGGGCCACUUUGUGCUGCCGCACGCGGUGACGCAUGACGUGGUUUUGGGCGGACACGUGGUGCCCAAGAACGGGAGUGUUAAUUUCAUGGUGGCGGAUAUAGGCUGGGACCCUCAAGUGUGGGAAGAUCCCAUGGCGUUCAAGCCGGAGAGGUUCUUGAGCAGCGGCGGAGGAGAAGAAGGGUUCGAUUUGACGGGGAGCAGGGAGAUUAAGAUGAUGCCGUUUGGGGCAGGGAGGAGAAUCUGUCCUGCGUCGGGAUUGGCGGUGCUUCACCUGGAGUACUUUGUGGCGAAUUUGGUGUGGAAAUUUGAGUGGAGAGCUGUGGAGGGAGAUGACGUGGACCUGUCGGAGAAGCAGGAGUCUACUGUGGUGAUGAAGAAUCCAUUGCAAGCCCACGUAAUCCCUAGAAUUUAAUGCGUGGGAGAAUUCUGUAAUAAUUUUUCGAUAUACUUUGAACUGUCAAAUCCAUCAAUGUAUGCUCUUCAUUGAUUAUGCAAUUUCGAAAAUUUGGAAUUUUAGUUUACUAGUGUGAUACAAGACAGAUUUUAUAACUUCAAUAUUUAGUGAGUGAUUUGAGUGAGCUGUACUUGCUACUUUUUAGCUUAUAACUAAUACAACUUUCCAAUCUUGGAAGACAUCUUCUGUAUUUAGAGAUUGCCCAAUAGCAAGGAGCAUUUGAGAAUUUGAUGGGAAUGCCUACAUAGUUACAACUCUCCUUUAAUCUUGGUGUUACAACUUGUUUGAUGACUAAUUCGAUAUCCCAGUUAUUGUGGUCUGAACAAACUCGGUGGAGUAGUGUUUUUGUUUUUACCUUCGUAUAUAUAGAAAUGGAAGAAUAAACAACUUUUUGAAGACAACUUCUUUCCGACAAAGGUGUUAUGGUACCAUUUCUGUUCAUUGCUUAAUUUGUUAGACUAUGCUUCGUCCUAAAAAUUCGUCAACUGAAGUAAUCUGAAGUUUUCAACUUCAUGUUUUGAGCCUCGGAGAUAAGGUUAAGCUCUAUGGAACUACUAUAUUUACAACAAUCUCGAUCUGAUUUCUUUGACAUGUUGAAUUUGUUGGUGGGACGCUGAGAUGCAAUGAAUAUGUGACAUUACGCAAAGUUGGAGAUGCAAGCCAUAAGGUUGGUCAUAUACAAUAUGCUAAUAGUAUUUGCACCCACAUUUUUAGCACAACAGUUCCAUAGCUAGAGUUCUAGUUUGCGGACGGAAAGUCUGACUAGCGUAUAUAUAAUUUGAUCUUUUGUAGGGUGGUGGUUCUGGCACCCAACAAAUUGUGAUUGAAGGCCCCUUAUGUGAGAAUUAUUACAAGAUUCGGGAGUAUCUCUAGUCACAAUUUUAUGUCCUUUAAGACCAUCUCCAACCUUUGGGGACAAAGCUUAAAAAUUUAAGCCAGAAAAUUUUAAGUCAUAAGCGAGAAACUGUUUUUCUCUUCUAACCCUUAUGGCUUAAAAUUUUAGCCUGUGAUGAUCAAAUAAUGAUUUUAGCCUAACUUUUUGUUUUCGGUAACUUUUUUUGAAAAUAAAAUUUACGUAGAUUAUCUUAAUCUAUUUUUAUAAAUAUUUUAGUCUAAAAAUAUUUAAAUUCCGAUAAGUAAUUAAAAAUCAUACAAAUACAUAGGUAUUUAUAAAGUUUUAAGUUAAAUUUGAUUUAAAUAAUUUUCUUAAAUUAUUUUAGAUGUUGAUUUAAUCUUGGACGGUCAAAUCUUUUUUUUACUUUUAGAUUUGAUCUCAUUUGAUCAUAACCGUUAAAUUAUAAGUAAAAAGCAAAAGAAAAAUUGAAAUAUAACAGUUUGGUGGAUUCAAAAUAAUUUAAGCCAACUUUAAAUCUUGGAGGAAUCUAGUUUAGAGAUAUAUUUUAUUUUAGCUUAUGGUUGGAGAUAGUUUGGAGGUUUUAAAAUUUAUAUUUUAAGCUUUAUUUUAUAAAUUAGAGAUCAUCUAAAUGGAUAGACAUAAUAUCUAAUGCCUUCAUAUGAACUUGAAUCACAAUGUUAACUUCCAGUGAUUCAGGAAACACACUAAAGUUUAAUUUCAACGUAGGACUUAUUUUUCGUCGAAGUUGUCAUGGACUCAUGGUCAGACAUUUUAAGUGAAAGUGACAAUAUGUGCAGCUGAGUUAAUGCCGUGGAAACUUGGUUCCUUAUAAUGUAUGGAAACUAACAAUUAAUGAGCAGACGCAGUUGCCCUUUUGUCUGAUUGCUUACGAUUCACCAUGGAAACCUGGUUCCUUGUCCUCAUCGCCCUCUGCGUCUCCUUCCUCCUCAAACCCCUUCUCUCUCUAUUCCUACCCACUUCCAUCUCCAGACCCAAUCUCCCUCUCGGGCCUCGCUUCUUCCCCAUCAUCGAGGGCUUCUUAUUCCUCCUCAAAUCUGCCUCGGAGCUCGAGCCUAUUAUCCGCAAACUCCAGGCCGAAUACGGGCCCAUCAUCUCCCUCCGCAUCGGCUCCCGCUCUACCGUCUUCGUCGCCGACCGCUCCCUCGCCCACCAGGCCUUAAUCCAGAACGGAGCCGUGUUCGCCGACCGCCCCCGGGCCUUGGCCACCAACAAGUGUCUCAACAGCAACCAGCACACCAUCGGCUCCGCCGGCUACGGUCCCUCGUGGCGUCUCCUCCGCCGCAAUAUCACCUCCGAAAUCCUCCACCCUUCCCGCGUUAAAUCCUACGGCAACGCCCGCAAAUGGGUUCUCGACAUCCUUGUCAACCGCCUCAAAACCGAGUCUCAAUCCCACUCAGAAGACGUCGCCAGCGGCGUCAGGGUGGUCGACCAUUUCCGAUACGCCAUGUUCUGCCUCCUGGUUCUGAUGUGCUUCGGCGACAAAAUGAACGAAGAGCAAAUCAAAGAAAUCGAGCGUGUGAACCGCCAACUACUUUUGAGUUUCGGGCGGUUCAAUAUCCUCAAUUUCAAUCCAAAAUUGACGAAGAUUAUCUUCAAAAAUCGGUAGCGGCAAUUCUUCAAAAUCCUCGAGGAACGACGAGAAGUGCUCGUCCGUCUGAUUCGAGCACGACAAACCAGGGCGAAGCAGGGCAGCAAAACCGACGACAAAGACGAUGAAUUUGUGUUGUCGUAUACUGAUACGCUGCUGGACCUCGAACUUCCCGACGGCAACGAAAAGCGGAAGCUUUCGGAGGGAGAAAUGGUCAGCCUCUGCUCAGAGUUUCUGAACGCCGGCACCGACACGACUUCCACCGCGCUGCAGUGGAUCAUGGCCAACGUAGUGAAGUACCCGCAAGUUCAGGAGAAGCUGUUUGCUGAGAUUAAAGGGGUGAUGGGAGAAACGGAGGAGGAGGUGCGGGAGGAGGUCCUACACAAGCUGCCGUAUCUGAAAGCCGUGAUCUUGGAGGGGCUGAGGCGCCACCCGCCGGCGCACUUUGUGCUGCCGCACGCGGUGACGCAAGACGUGGUUUUGGGCGGACACGUGGUGCCCAAGAACGGGAGUGUUAAUUUCAUGGUGGCGGAUAUAGGCUGGGACCCGCAAGUGUGGGAGGAUCCCAUGGCGUUCAAGCCCGAGAGGUUCUUGGGCAGCGGCGGAGAAGAAGGGUUCGAUUUGACGGGGAGCAGGGAGAUUAAGAUGAUGCCGUUUGGGGCAGGGAGGAGGAUCUGUCCUGCGUCGGGAUUGGCGGUGCUUCACCUGGAGUACUUUGUGGCGAAUUUGGUUUGGAAGUUUCAGUGGAGGGCUGUGGAGGGAGAUGACGUUGACCUGUCAGAGAAGCGGGAGUUUACUAUGGUGAUGAAGAAUCCAUUGCAAGCCCACGUAAUCCCUAGAAUUUAAUACGUGUGAGAAUUCUGAGAAUUCUGUACUAAUUUUUAGUACGUGUGAGAAUCCUGUACUAAUUUUUAGGGUAAAUUACAUAGUAGUCACUCAUGUUUGAUGUCUAUUACAACCUCAUACAACGUCUUUAAAACAUUUCACUUUCAUACAUCAUUCAAAAUAAUACAUCCGUUAGAUUUUCCGUCCAUUAAUCUGUUAAAUACUGACGUGGCUGCCACAUCUGUGCUGAUGUGGCUGCCAAAUGUGUGUCACGUGGCAAAAAUAAUAAUUUUUUAAUUUUUUUUAAAAAAACCUAAAUCUUUGAAAUUUAAAAUAAAAUAAAAUAAAAUAAAAAAUAAAAAAAUAAAAACCCAAAAGCUGAACAAAACCCCACCCCCGUGAACCCCUCUCAGCCUUCUUCUUCCCCGCUCCCAUCUUCCCCCACCCCAUACUUGCACCUUUGAAGGAAAAAAAAAACCCAAAGAACAACCCAGAUCCCAUACCCCAUACGACCACCCCCCAACCCAUAUCCCAUUACCACGCCCCCCCUGCGCGCGCGCGCGCGAAACCCAACCCAGAUCCCAUUACCACCCCUCCGGCGCGAAACCCAUAUCCCCCCCCCCCGAACUGCAAGGACGUCAUCCUCACCUGCAUCAUCUUCAUCGUCGAAGACGACAACUGUGGAGCCAAAAAUAUUCACUAGGCGACACGUGGAUUUGUGAACGAAAGAGGACAAAAAUACCCUUGAGGUAUAUCGGGAUUCCUACGCGCAAGUAGUGGGUAAUCAUCCUCAACCAAUUCAAAAAUGCUCCAGAAGAGGUAACUAAUUCCAAAUUAUCUUAUUUUAGGUAAUUAUUUCCAAAACUUAAUUUCCCUAAUAUAUUAUUUAGUUAAUUAAUUAUCUAAAUAAUAUAUUCUUCCCAUAUCUCCUAAAAUCAUCCCUUAAUUACCAAUUUGAAACAUCCACUCAAACCUAAAAAAUGGGAUAGGGCCGGCUACCCCAUUCAAAGUCUAUUCCAUCACCUUUUUUUCUACCUUUUCCACCUUUCCUUCCCUUUUAAAUUAGCCAAUCAAUACCAUAAAUAAUAAAAUAUCUCCUUUCAUAUUUAAUUAGCCAAUUAAUUGGCUAAUUAAACCUAAAAUUAAACCUAAAAAUCCCAUAGUAACCGGCCACAUUCCCUCCCAUCUUUUCCCUACCUUUUUUUUUAUUUUCCUCCACUUUAUUACUCAAAUAAAGCUAAUCAUUUAAGACCCCAUUCAUUUCUAUUUUAUUAGCCAAUAAAGGGGCUAAUAAAAAACCACAAAUUGACUAAGAAAAAGGGAAGGGUGUGGCCGGCCCUUCCUUGGUGAAAAAUGGGGAAGCCUAAUCCUAUAAAUAGGCUCCUAUUCUCACCAAAAAUUCAUUCCAAACCUCUUGCAAAAAUUCCAAAACACUCUAAACACUAUUUCUCUCUAAAUUUCUAACUUUGGCAUCGGAGGUUCUUCGGCCAAAGCCCCCCCCAUUCAUCGUGGGCGCGUGAGGCUUUUGGCCUUAACCUAAGGUGCUAGUUUGUUUUGUAGGUGCAAAAUCGUCCAAGAUCGAAGAGGAGAAAAUUUGCAUCCACAAAUUGGUGCUUUCAUUGAGAGUUGUAAUCCAUACUCGUAGAAGACUCUCGUACAAAAAGGUUUUUUUCUUUAUUUUCUAGUCUAUUUGAAUAUUUUUCAUACGUUCUUAUUAUUAGAAUUUUCUACUUGCAAAGGUUCUUUGAUAAAACGUAUAAGAAAAAUAUAAUGACUAGAAAUUUAGAAAAUUCCGCAAGUAAAAAAUUCUAGUAUUCAAGAAAUGGGACUACGGAGAUCCAUGAGGCAAAAUGCGACAAGAAGGGGAGCGACAUCAUCACCACGAGCUUCCACCAUGGGAACCACCGUGAUGGCUACCUCGGUAGCCACCCGCGGCGAGGUCCAUGGUGCCUUCACCACGGCCGCCAUGGGAACCACCACGGUGGCUACUUCGGUAGCCGCUCGUGGCGAGGUCCAUGGAGCCUUCACCACAGCCGCCAUGGGAACCACCACGGUGGCUACUUCGGUAGCCACUCGUGGCGAGGUCCAUGGAGCCUUCACCACGGCCCGAGUCGUGCCAUCCAAGUUUACGUGGACCAAAGCCCAAGCCUCGCAUUCACAUGCACCGCGCAUUGAGCAGCCUGCUCCCCGUGAUCCAGCCUGCUCUUGUAGCCCAGCCUGCUCCAACGAUCCAGCCUGCCCCAGUGAUCCAGCCUGCCCCCGCAGCCCAGCCUGUUUUCAUGGUUUCCCAAGCUGCCCAAGUCCGCCCGAGACAAUCUCAACCAUCCGGACCAAUCAUCGAGGCUGAGGCGUUUUCACCGCAUUUCUCUGCAGAUUUGACAUUCCCCAACUCAAAUCUCGCACCUGGAGUCAACCACCCUUUCAUUGUUCAAGGAGGUGCAUUCCAUCCAAGUUCUUCCAAUCCGAAUGGCGAACAAAACUUGUCCCGACAAGUCAUAGAAUUGACGAGCGCCCUUGCACAACAAACCACCUUGGUGAAUCAACUUUUACAACGUACUGAGAUGCAUCGCGCUCACGAUGAAGUUUCCCGGAGUAGAACAAGGGUAGACAAUGAGCCUUUUAAACAGCGUCCUGGAAAGCAGCCAUUCAACCCAUCACAAGUGGAGCAUUCAGACAGUGCACACUCUCGAUUGGGCCCCCGAAAUAGCAUAUACUCCCGUCUUAGCGCGCGGAUGAGCGUGCACUCUCGGUUAGGCCCACGAGCAAGUAUACAUUCACGGUUGGGGCCACGCUUUGAUAAUCAACAUGGGCAACCUUCCAGGCAAAGCAUUCAUUCGCGAUUAGGCUCACAAGGAGUAUCCUCCACAUCACAUCGGAGCAGGCAGCCUGACAAACGGAAGGAAACGAUCGUUCAAUCUGGCUCUAGUUCAACCGAUAGCCUGCAAAGAAAUCCCUCGCCUGCUAGGAAUCUAUCUCAUCCAUUGCAGCCACAGCGUAGACGAGCCGAGCGAGAAGAAGAGCAGCCUAGACCGGUAGAAAAAGACCAAGGGCAGCAAAAAGCUCCGCUACCCCCAACAAAAGCAAAUCCAAGAAGAGGUAGAAAGGCUUUUCAAUGAGCGGAUGCGUGAUUUUCGGCGCAACGAAAUGGUUGAUGAGGCACUAAGGCGAGAUAUGACCAACAUGAGCAGGUCACCUUUCGCGGAUGAGAUCGAGCAGGCAGAGCCUCCGCGCAAGUUUAGCAUGCCACACUUCACAUCUUUCAAAGGAGAUGGGGAUCCCGAAAGACACUUGAAGCAUUACCGAAAUGCGAUGGUCCUUUAUCGGAAUAAUGACGCCCUUAUGUGCAAAAUAUUCGCCACUACUUUACAAGGCGAGGCACAAGAUUGGUUUCAUACCUUGCCGGCACGAUCCAUCCUGAAUUUUGAUGAUCUUUCCUUGGUCUUCACCAAAGAAUACUCAUCUUAUCGAUCGAUCAAGAAGAAGUCCGAUCACCUGUUCAACGUAAAGAAAAACCCAAAAGAGUCGCUUCGCGAUUACGUGAAGAGAUUCAAAGCAGAGAAGGCGAAGAUCGUCGGAUGCGACAACUCGAUAGCAAGUGCAGCCUUCCAAAAAGGACUACCAGCAGACCACCUACUGUUUGGAGAAAUGAUCAUGAAAGAAGACCUAACUCUAGCAGAUUCCUUUGCUCUGGCAGAAAAGCAUGCGCUUUGGGACGAGGCUCGACAAGCAGAAAAGGCUCCCGAACAACCUCGAAAAGAGUUGGCAGCUACUCAAAAGAAGGAUGAAAAACAACCCAACAAGGGCAGGCAGGAGUUCAAGCGCAGGGACCGACCCACGACCAAAGAAGGCCCGAUGACCAACAACUAUUCUAAGUUCUCAAUUCCGAUUCAUCAAAUCCUUCGUGACGUCAAGAAUGAACCAUGGUUCAAGUUGCCGAAGCAGUCAAAAGGAGAUACUUCCAAGUUGGACCACACUAAGUAUUGUGCAUUCCACCGAGGUCCCGGUCACACAACCAACGAUUGCUACACUUGGAAGAACUACCUAGAGAAACUCGUGAAAGAAGGCAAAGUCGAUAGAUAUUUGGACAAGCCAGCUGAGCAGCAAAAAAGGAAUGCAGACGGAGAUGAGGAGCCACCAACUAAGACGAUUCGAAUCAACGGCAUUUUUCGCUGAGUCCGAGCACUUAGGGGCUACUAAUAACUCCAAAAAGAGGAAGAUCCAGCAGGCCUUACUAAUCUCACAAGUUCAUGCAGUCGAUACCCAACCUGGACCUAUCAUUGGCUUCACGGAGCAGGAUGCAGAAGGAGUCGACUUCCCACACGACGAUGCAUUAGUAGUAUCUGUCCAACUAGCCCAUGCUAUAGUCGACAGGAUGAUGGUUGACAAUGGAAGUGCGGUCAACCUACUUCAACUUUCAGUCAUUCAGAAGAUGGGCCUGGAAAGUACAAUCAUACGCCGGGCAGAGGUACUUACUGGAUUCAACGGACACACCUCAACUGCCAUCGGUCAUAUCAUACUUGACGUAAAAACACCGCCAGUCGUCUCAAAGCAAACAUUCACGAUUGUAAGCGACCCAUCUCCCUACAAUGGGAUUCUUGGGAGACCUUGGUUGAUCAAGCUGGAUGCUGUCACUUCCGUCAAGUAUCAAAAAAUCUGAUUCCGCAUCCCGGAAGGAGGAGUCGGAGAGAUCAAGUCUGACCAGGCUUCAUCCCGACGAUGCACUGUGCAAAUGUUAAAAGAAACAAAGAAAAAGACCUUUACCCCCGUAGAGGUUACCGAAGUCCAAAAGGGCAAAGAAAUUGCCAAAUAGCAAUUACAGCAGGUGGAUCGAGAAGAUGGCACCCAAGCAGACAGGAUAGGAUGGAAACCCGAAGAGGACGCCGAAGACAUCAUUCUUGAUCCCCAGCAGCCGGAAAAGACGACUAAAAAUUGGCUCACGACUAAGCCCAGACGAGAAGGAAGAACUCACAAUUUUCCUUAGGAAAAACCGAGAUAUCUUCGCAUGGUCACCAUCCGACAUGCCCGGUAUUGAUCCCAAAGUGGCCUGCCACAAGCUGCACGUCGAUCCAACUGCCAAACCGGUAAUUCAAAAAAGAAGACAUUUCGCUCCCGAACGAGUAGCGAUCAUCGAGGCAGAAAUCGACAAACUAUUGGAGGCCGGUUUCAUAGAAGAGGUAGCACACUCGGCAUGGCUUGCUAAUGUCGUACUAGUCAUGAAGAAAGAGAAGGGCAAAUGAGGGGUUUGCGUAGACUACACUGACCUCAACAAAGCAUGCCCAAAAGACCAUUAUCCUGUCCCCCCGGAUUGAUCUAUUAGUAGAUUCAACUUCUGGAAACCAGUUACUUAGUUUCUUAAACGCAUACUCCGGCUACAACCAAAUAGCCAUGCAUGAGCCCGACAAGGAGAAAACUGCGUUCGUGAUAGAGCGAGGCACUUACUGCUACAAGGUCAUGCCUUUUGGCCUCAAGAACGCGGGAGCCACUUACCAAAGGUUAGUAAAUAUGAUGUUCAAAAAGCAAAUUGGGGUAACCAUGGAGGUCUAUGUCGACGAUAUCAUGGUAAAGGGCAAGCAGCGAUCAGAUCACAUUCGCAAUUUAGCAGAAGCUUUCAAUAUCCUUAGAAGGUACAAGAUGAAGCUCAACCCCACCAAGUGCACGUUUGGAGUAUCUUCAGGUCGAUUCCUAGGGUACUUAGUAACCCAACGAGGAAUUGAGGCACAUCCCAAGCAAAUCCAAGCAAUCAUAGAGAUGAAAUCUCCAACUACCUUGAAGGAGAUCCAAAGCUUGACCGGACGAGCAGCCGCCCUCAAUCGCUUCCUCUCACGAUCCACCGAUCGAUGCAAACCCUUUUUCAAAGCUAUCAAGAGGGCACAAAGAAACAAAUGGGAUGAAGAAUGCGAAAAAGCUUUCCAAGACUUGAAGAGUUAUCUCACAUCACCUCCCUUACUAUCCAAGCCGGAAGCAGCGGAGGAUUUAUAUAUUUAUUUGGCAGUUUCCGAGGUAGCAGUGAGCUCUGCUCUCAUACGAGAAGAGCUGGGGGCCCAACUGCCGGUAUUCUACACUUCUAAAGCUCUUCUCGAUGCAGAAACAAGAUAUCCGAAGAUCGAAAAAUUAAUUUUGGCGUUAGUUGUUGCGGCUCGGAAGCUCAGACCCUACUUUCAAACUCAUACAGUCAUUGUUAUGACUCAAUAUCCCUUACGAUCAAUAUUACAUGGUCCGGACGCUUCUCAACGAGUGAUGAAAUGGGCAUUGGAACUUGGCCAAUAUGGUUUAGUUUUCCAACCUCGCACAGCGAUAAAGGCCCAAGCCUUGGCGGAUUUCGUGGCAGAAUUCACACCUAGCCUAGGCAACGCAACAGUGCGGCCCAACGACGCCCCAGAAGCAGCAGAGAGUACCUUAGCCACACUUACUCCAUCCAAUAAAGAUUUCUGGAACUUGCAUGUCGACGGUGCAUCCAACUAUAAAGGCUCGGGAGCAGGUGUAGUUCUUGUUACUCCAGAUGGCUCAAUGCUCGAGCAGGCGAUCACUCUAGGUUUCAAAGCAUCCAAUAACGAAGCAGAGUACGAGGCUCUACUAGCGGGCCUCCGAAUGGCAAAAGACUUGGCGGUGAAGAAACUCGCAAUUCAUUCUGAUUCCCCAACUAAUCACCAGCCAGGCUACUGGGGAAUACACUGCAAAACACCCAAGGAUGGCACAAUACCUAGAGAAAGUACGCCAGCAGCUUGAAGCAUUUCAGACUUACACUCUCACUCAAGUUCCGCGGGCAGACAAUGCACAUGCAGAUGCACUAGCUGGUUUAGGCUCCGCCCUUGACCACCAAUUCAAACGCUCUAUUCCGGUGGAAUAUCUAGACAAGCCAAGCAUAGAGAUGGAGUCGAUAGCCGAAGUGUCACAGGUUAGUGUAACUCCCACUUGGCAAAGUUCAAUUAUAGACUACUUGGUCAACGACACAUUACCCACAGAAAGAUUGGAGUCAAGGAAGCUUCAAAUUAAGUCGGCACGCUACUAUAUGUGGAAUGGCAUUCUCGUCCGAAGAUCCUACACCGGACCACAUCUCCGCUGCCUGGCACCUCCCGAUGACUUGAAGGUUCUAAGCUCAAUCCACGAAGGCGUUUGUGGGAAUCACUCUGGAGGUCGAUCCUUAGCCCAAAAGGCUCUUAACGCAGGCUAUUACUGGCCUACCAUGCACCAAGAUGCUAAGGAGUUAGUACAAAAAAUGCGACCGUUGCCAACGCUACAAACCAGUACCAGCACACUACCCGCCAGUGAGCUACACACCCGCAAACGAGUCCUUGGCCAUUCAUGCAGUGGGCAAUCGACCUGGUAGGGCCUAUGCCGCCUGCUACGGGGGGCAGAUGCAUGAUGAUCGUGGCAACCGACUAUUUCACCAAAUGGGUAGAAGCAGAACCCAUGACAACCACGACUCAGACGGAUAUAGAGAGCGCUUUAUAUGGAGGAACAUCAUUUGCCGAUUUGGCAUCCCUCAGUCCAUCGUCACUGACAACGGUCCUCAAUUUGUGGGAAAAGAUUUGGCAAAGUUCUUCCAAAAAUACGGCAUCAAACAACACAUGUCCACACCAAGAUAUCCUCAAGGCAAUGGGCAGGCUGAAGCAUCCAACAAGACGAUUCUCGACUGCCUCAAGAAAUCCCUCACCGACAAAAAGGGAAAAUGGCCAGAUGAGCUCCCAGGAUGUUUAUGGGCAUAUCGCACCACCAAAAGACGAGCAACCGGUGAAACUCCUUUCUCUUUGGCGUUUGGUUCGGAGGCAAUCAUACCUCCCAACAUCAUCGUGCCAAGCAUCAACACUCUAUUGCUAAACGUUGAGCGGAACAGUAAAGAAAUGGCCACAGAUUUAGAUCUGGCAGAAGAAAGGCGCGAACAAACCAUCACCCGCAUCGCAGCCUACCAGCAGCAGCUCAUUUCCAGCUACAACAAAAGGGCCAAGAUCCGGCAGUUCCAACCUGGAGACCUAGUCCUAAGAAAAGCUUUCAUCACUGCCCGCAGAGAAGGCUCGAAAAAAAUGGACCCCAUCUGGGAAGGUCCUUACAAGAUCAACAGAGUCGGCGGCAAAGGCAGUUAUACUCUUGCUACCAUGAAUGAUAAAGAGAUCGAGAAGCAAUGGAACGCCUACAAUUUGAGGAAAUACCAUGUGUGACUUCACACUAUAUCAAGACCCGAAGACUCGAGCAUCUCAACGGUCACCACCUCGUAAACCGAGGACUAUCCAAUCAUCAUGCAGUUUUUGCAACCAAGUUAUUCGCUCAUUUUAUUUUUCAAUAAAGAAUUCAAAAGUAAUUUGUAAUUUGGCUUUAAUAUAUGUCUACAACAACUUAUUUCUUUCUGCAUUUCAAAAGAAAAUUACACCCCCCAAGGGACCAACUGUGCUCUCCAAGGAGGGAGGAUAAACUCAACACUCCGAAUAUCCAGACGUGGAUGAGCUUGGCUGCCCUAGAAUGACUAGGUGCAUGAUGGCUUGCGCCGGGAUUCCUAGAAGUAGCCACAAUGGUCUGUUUCAAGGCUUAGCUAGUUGAAGGAUUAUGGGUCUAUCGGCUUAAUCCGCAGGGAACCGGGCCCUAGAUACGGAGGGGGCACAUUAUGCAGCACACCCAAUGGGCGGCUGCCCUGGAAACCUAAAGCUGCUACCGAGUGCACUAAGGUAGCCUACGGAUUUCCAGAAGACUGCCUACGGCUUGCCCUUCGAGCAGUAGAACCACGCUAGACUUAUGCAACCGCACAUUAUUGUGAAAGGUUAAACAAGUUAGCGUGCACACACGAAGAUUUUAUCCACUACCGACAUGCUACGUAGUUGAUAAGCUUCACCUCUGUCAAACGCAGAAUAACUUAUACCAAAUCCUAAAGUGUUGUGAUACUUGCUACACGGCCUACGGAAUUGGAAAAAUCCAAGGUUGAAUAACCAAGUGGUUACGCGGAUUCGUCUGCUUCUGUAAGUAAGGCAUCCGGCUGCCAACCCUAUGGUUAAUAACUUUGCAGAAGUUUCUACAUCAACACCUACGGUUGCAUAGGCUAUGUGGGCCUGUCUACUUAUAGAAAAGUAGCACGCCUGCCACUGGCUUAUAUAAGGUCUAAAGGUUAAAAAAAAAAAUGGGAAAAGCAAAAGAAGCGAGUUUAUUAAAUUUUAUAGCAAAAUUGAUAAACAACAAGCAAAUACCAAAAGAGUUCAAGCAAAAGCAACAAAGGAAAGAAAAGGAAACCCUAAAAGCUACCUAGAAGACUACUCUUCGGUAGUUUGGACAUCUCCCAACUGCUCGGUUGUUACACCUUCAGCAGCCUUGGUGUUCUCAGCAGCGGCAUCCUCCGGACCUUUACCCUCGACUGUUCCAGCCUGGGUAUCAACUCCUCCAGCUAUUUCACCGAUAGAAGACUCAAAGGUAAAAUCGAGCAAGUCUUCUGGGGAAAUAGAGAAGGUCUCGAAGUCUUUACCGGAAAACUCAAAGUCAGACGGCCGCCCAUAGAGAUGAUCUACAUAGCCCAGCUUGUAGAAAUCAGAUUGGUUCUGAAUAAGCGAAGCCUCGAAACCAUUUUUCUCACUCUUCAACUGCUCAUUCUCCUCAAACAGGCAAGCACGAACUCGCUGCAACUCCUCAAUUUCUUUCUUAAGAUUGUCGUUGGUCUUCAAAACACCUUGAAGUUCCGACACUUGAGGCUCAAGCCUGUCAGCAACCUCUUUGAAGUGGAUCGCUUGGUUGUAAGUAGCAAUCAAUUCUUCAUCCUUUGCAUAAGCAGCGGAGCGAAGUUCAGAUAUGGAGCGUUCAAGAUCUCGAAUCUGAGGUAUGUAACGCUCGAUUUCCUUCUCUGCACUUUCAUUCUUUGUUUGGACCGCAUCAAACCUAGUCUUCAAAUCCAUGAUCUCCUGGUGAGCGGCCUCAAGCUGCUGAGAAGUGGGGUCAGAAGUAUGAGAUUCCUUCAAAGCAGCAAGCUCAGAUUCCAAUUUUUUGAUUUUUUUCAACCGAGGAAUAAGCUUCGGCAGCCAUAGUUCUUGCCAUCUCUUUAGCAGCCUUGGUGUCCUCUUGGUCAAGGAACAUAGACUCGGCUGCCAGAAUUGUUGUUUUCUGCAUCAUGGCUAGCAGAGCAGUCUUCCUAUACUCGGGUGUAUGCUUUGCAAAAAAGACUCGGACCAACAAUCUCUUUGACGCCAUCAACAAACUGGGCGCAUACAUCCAUGUCUUCAAGAAGAUCUGGUUUCAAAAGAGCACAAAUCUUAGCAGCCUCCUCAGAAACGGCCUUGGCGGAUUCUUCAAGCCUGCCUGAGCGAGCAGCUUCAUUCUUAUCAGCAGACGAGAUGGUUGCAGCAGCGGAAGAAGCAGUAUUCGGCGCCACUUUAGCAGACAGGGGCACCUUAUCACUCUUCAUCAUAGUAGCAAGUCUCUCUUCAAGGGUAAGUCAGGUUUAGUCCCGGACGGACGUUUUGGCACAAACUUCGGUACCAAAGGCACGGAAGAACUUUUACGCUGAGCAAUUUUUUUCAGCAAUCGAGCUAGCAGCCUUCGAAGCAAUAGGCGUUACUGGCACAAAUGUAGCAGUUCGUUCUUUCUCGCCCUUAGAGGAAGUCAGGUCAAUCACAAUCUUGGGAGCAGCCGGAGAAUCCCCACGAGCAGUCUUCAUUUUCUUCUCAGCAGGUAUCUCUUGAGCAGGCGGGGAAUGUUUCUUUUUCCCACCUUCAUUGGUAGUAGGCUCCACCACAGUGAUAGGACGAGCCAUCGCGUCUGCCUUGAUCCGUUUUAUUUCUUCUUCUGGGGGUAGUCCACCUUUUUCCCUACGAAGAGGACUAAGCAGCCAACGCCACUCACGAUACUCGGAAGGAAUACCCAGAGCGACAUGCACUUUUUUCAUAUCUGGAGAAACCCUAGGAGUUGAGCCAAAUUCCGAAUCUACAAAAAAAAAAGAAAAAAAAAACAGAAGACAAUCAGAAAAUUGAAGAAUGAUUUGGCACUAAAGCAAAGCAGCCGAAAAAGACUAAGCAGUCUGCUUACCAGAUAUGAAGACCGUUGAUACACGCAGCUCGGGAGAAGAAUCAGAUUCCCAUUCUCCACUUAUCUCCAAAGUCUCUUUGGCCCAAUCAUGAUCUCCUUUACUCGAAUUAUCAAAAAGCUUAUGACGGAUUCGCAGUUGUCCAACUCCAUCAAUACGACCUAUGUCAAAGAAAUACCAAAAUUCGUUGGUGGUUAGUCCCAAGUCAAAGAAUUGGUUCAAAUUGUGGAACCCCACCAUCACUCGGACCGCAUUCGGGGAACAUUGGGCAGGCGCACAUUUCAUAGAGCAAAGCACUUCUUGGAAGAAAACGCGGUAUAGGGAAAGUAAACCCUAACACAAAAUAGUAAGGAUGGAACUUGAUAGUUCUCCGAGUUCCACUGCAUGGUUCUCGGCUGCUACCAUCUUUAACUCGUCUCACACGCACUCCCGACGGAAUGGCAUGCCAAUACGUUUCAAGAAAAUCUCUAAACAAAUUGUCGGAGCUAAUCUUGAUGUGAGCAGCUUUGAAGUAGCCAAUCUUGCUCAAAGACCCGCCUUGACGGUACAGCGGGGGCACACCAUCAUCAUUCUUACGGCUCGAGGAAGACAUGCUUGAAAAUUCUACAAAAGUACAAGGAAGAUUUGUUAGAGAGUUGUUAAAAAAAAAAAAAAAAAAGAAAAGAAACAGCUCUCGGCAGCAAAAAAAAAAAAAAAAAAAAAAAAAAAAAAGAAACAGCUCUCGGCAGCAAAAAAAAAAAAAAAAAAAAAAAAAAAAAAAAAAAAAAACAAGAAUUAGGCUUAAAGCCGCAGGACCAGCAAACCUGCCAGGCCCCACGGCCUGGCUUGCUUCAACGCCCAGCAAGAAAAAAAUAUAUAUAUUUUCAUGGCAUUACCAUGCCAUGGUUCACCAGAUCAACCUAUAACAAGUCUCUGAUUCCCAUCAGGCCAAGAAUCAAGAUCCAAAGAUUCCAGAAAAUCAAGAAGACAAGAAAAAUAAUUUUUUCUUACUUGGAAGCAACGAAGAGCGAUCCUUUACACGGGCAAGACGUAGAAGAUUGCUAGAGGAGGGGGAACAAAUAUCCUCUAAGCUCUCUUUUUCUCUUGUAAGGAUGAAUAAGUUUCACUCUAAAAGUUGAUUUAACAAUCCACUUAAGGUGGACUUAAAUAAGCUUUGGGGAAAUUUAUUUCCUUUUCCUAGAAGGAUUUAAUUUCCUAUUGAAAGAAAGAAUCAACAACAAAAUAGGAAACAGUUCAGAAUUUCCUAAAGCAAGAAAAUCUCUACACCUAUUGCCCUUUUCUGCAAACAGCUCAACAGGUGUGGGGGCAUUUGUGGAGCCAAAAAUAUUCACUAGGCGACACGUGGAUUUGUGAACGAAAGAGGACAAAAAUACCCUUGAGGUAUAUCGGGAUUCCUACGCGCAAGUAGUGGGUAAUCAUCCUCAACCAAUUCAAAAAUGCUCCAGAAGAGGUAACUAAUUCCAAAUUAUCUUAUUUUAGGUAAUUAUUUCCAAAACUUAAUUUCCCUAAUAUAUUAUUUAGUUAAUUAAUUAUCUAAAUAAUAUAUUCUUCCCAUAUCUCCUAAAAUCAUCCCUUAAUUACCAAUUUGAAACAUCCACUCAAACCUAAAAAAAUGGGAUAGGGCCGGCUACCCCAUUCAAAGUCUAUUCCAUCACCUUUUUUUCUACCUUUUCCACCUUUCCUUCCCUUUUAAAUUAGCCAAUCAAUACCAUAAAUAAUAAAAUAUCUCCUUUCAUAUUUAAUUAGCCAAUUAAUUGGCUAAUUAAACCUAAAAUUAAACCUAAAAAUCCCAUAGUAACCGGCCACAUUCCCUCCCAUCUUUUCCCUACCUUUUUUUUUUAUUUUCCUCCACUUUAUUACUCAAAUAAAGCUAAUCAUUUAAGACCCCAUUCAUUUCUAUUUUAUUAGCCAAUAAAGGGGCUAAUAAAAAACCACAAAUUGACUAAGAAAAGGGAAGGGUGUGGCCGGCCCUUCCUUGGUGAAAAAUGGGGAAGCCUAAUCCUAUAAAUAGGCUCCUAUUCUCACCAAAAAUUCAUUCCAAACCUCUUGCAAAAAUUCCAAAACACUCUAAACACUAUUUCUCUCUAAAUUUCUAACUUUGGCAUCGGAGGUUCUUCGGCCAAAGCCCCCCCCCAUUCAUCGUGGGCGCGUGAGGCUUUUGGCCUUAACCUAAGGUGCUAGUUGUUUUGUAGGUGCAAAAUCGUCCAAGAUCGAAGAGGAGAAAAUUUGCAUCCACAACAACGAGCAGGAGCAGCAGGGCGACGAUGAGAUAUCCCGGUCGACGGCGAGAUCGGGUGGUGACGAAAGACCUCCAUGAGGAGCAGAGGGAUUAGAGAGAGAGAUAUGCAGUGGUGAUGGGGAAAGGGCGGCGUUGAUCUGGGAAAAGAGAAGGAAGGGGAGGUGAAGAGAGUGAAGAAGAGGGAGAAAUGGGUCGGGGAUUUAUGGGUUUCUGUUUUUCUGUUUUUUGUUUUUCAAAUAGAAUUGGGGGUUUCAGGAAGGUGAGGGGUGGGGUGGGGGAUUGUAGUGGAGGUGGAGGUGGAGGUGGGCGUGGGUAGGUUAGGGGGCUGCAGGGAUGGAUGGGUUUCAAGGUUUUUUUUUAUUUUUUUUAUAAUAAUUUAGAAGAUUCAGAUUUUUUUUAAAUUAAAAAAAAAAAUUUACCACGUGGCACACAUUUGGCAGCCACGUGGCACAAAUGUGGCAGCUACGUCAGCACUUAACGGAUCAAUGGACGGAAAAUCUAACGGAUGUAUUAUUUUGAAAUAAAAUGGUACAUGAUGUAUGAAAAUGAAAUGUUUUAAAGACGUUGUAUGGGAUUGUAAUAGAUCUCAAACCUGAGAGGCUACUAUGUAAUUUACCCUAAUUUUUAUUACGUGUGAAAAAUUUAUACUAAUUUUUCGGCGCAUGCUGAACCGUUAAAUCUAUUAGCGUAUGAUUAUGUAAUUUGGAAAAUUUGGAUUUUUAGUUUACUAGUGUGAUUCAAGACAGAUUUUAUAACUUCAAUAUUUAGUAAGUGAUUUGAGUGAGCUGUAUUUGCUAGUUUUUAGCUUAUAACUAAUACAACUUUCAAAUCUUGGAAGACAUCUUCUUUAUUUAGAGAUUGCCCAAGAGCAAGGAGCAUUUGAGAAUCGAUGGGAAUGACUACACUACACAGGUACAACUCUCCUUUAAUCUUGGCGUCACAGCUUUACUGAUGGCUAUUUCGAAAUCCAAGUUACUGUAUUUUGAACAAAUUCGGUGGAGUAGUGUUUUUGUUUUUACCUUCGAAUGUAUGGAAAUAGAAGAAUAAACAACUCUUUGAAGACAACUUCUUUUCGACAAAGGUGUUCAGUUACCAUUUUCGUUCACUGCUUAAUUUGUUAUACUAUGCUUCGUCCCCAAAAUUCGUCAUCUGAAGUAAUCUCAAGUUUUCAACUUCAUGAUUGGAUUUGAUGGUGGGGCGUUGAGAUGCAGUGAAUAUGUGACAUUAAAGUUGGGGAUGCAAGCCAUACGGUUGGUCAGAUACAGAUAUGCUAAUAGUAUUAGCAACCAAAUUUUUGCUGCAACAGUUCCAUUUUUUCAGAUGGAAAGUCUGACUAGCGUAUUUAUAAUUUGAUCUUUUGUAGGGUGGUGGUUCCGGCACCCAACAAAUUGUGAUCGAAGGCUCCUUAUGUGAUGAUUAUUACAAGAUUCGGGAAUAUCUCUACUCACUAUUUUAUUUGCUUUAAGUAGAGAUACAUAAUAUCUAACGCCUUUGGGUGAACCAUCAUUUGAUGCGGUGUUAAUUUCCAGUGAUUUUAGGGUACACAGUAAAGUUUAAUUUAAAUAUAAGACUUAUUUUCCGUUGAAGUUGUCAUUUUGUUCAUGCAAGAUGGAAAUCUUUUUCAGGAAUCAGGAAACAAAGCAUGUUUGAAGGGUUAGACACCCAAUUGUCAUGUUGUCCUCUUAUACCAAGUCCCACACGGGUUAAAUUCAAAUAGCACCAAGACAUUAAUGCGGAUGAAGCUUUUAACGGAAAAGAUUUUUUUUUUUUUUAAAUGAGGAUUAGUUGUGGGGCCCAUAUCAUAUCAAAGUUUAACGAUCCGAAUAGUUUAUUUUUCAAGUUACACCUCUUAGAUCAUCUUUGCAAAAUAUUAGUUAAAUCGAAAAUAUUUUGAUAUCUAAUUGAGUUCAAAUAAAUUGACGAACCCUUUUGUCUAUAAGAAACAAUGAAAUUUCAAUGAGAUAAUUAAAUAGGCAAGUGGUUUCGGAUUGAAUUGAAUUUUGCAAGGAUGAUGUAUGAAUCGAGACUUACAAAAUAGACGGCACGAAUCGUUAAAUUUCAAUGUAGAGUGGAUCCCACAACUAAUCCUUAUUUCUUAAAAAAAAAAACGAUGAUACAUCCCUUAAAUGGCAUGUACCUACGAAAACAAAACAUAACAAACAAAUUACAGUUAGACAUUUCAACUUUUUCACAUGACAAUAUGCAGUUGAGUUUGGAUAAUGCCGCAAAACUGGCAAGUAAAUUACACAAUGCCAUGCAUUUUAGCUUCUUAACGAAGGGUAAUGUUAGAGAGACUAAAUUGGAAAACAAAAUUUGCAAACUAAGGGGGGUGUAGUCAUAAUAGGAUUUGAUAGGAUUUUAAUAGACUUUAAAAUCAAGGUGUAGUCAAUUACAAUUUUAAAAGAUUUAGAAAUCAUGGUGUAGUCAAAGUAAGAUUUAAGAGGAUUUUAAAGAAUACAUCCAUAUCCAAUGGUAGUCAAUUAAGAUUUUAAAGAAUACAUAUAAAUCCAGAGUUAGUGAGAAUGCAAAAAAUUUGAUAGGAUUUGAAUGGGAGGGGAUUUUGAUGGAUUUAAAGGUGGAUCGUAUAUAUACCAAAUGCUAUCAAGAAUCCUACCAUCCCCCAUCUGAUUUCUUUUCACGUCGGCAAACAGAAAAGAACCUCCCAACCCCUUCAUCUUCAUCUAUACCUUCCUCUUCGGAACACAUCUCAUCGUCCUCUUCGACUUCGAAUUCAUCGUCUUCAUUCUCAUCUAUCAUGGAUUUUUUUUUUUCUUUCAAAUUCUACUUGUAAACAACUAUUGGGUUCUGGCAAGUUCUCUAUUUUCUCAGAAAAGGAAUAGUAUUCCUCCAUUUUUUGCCCUACCUGAGAUCCGAUGGUUCAAUAUUUUUUUAACAUAUCGCUGGAAUCAGUUUUUUUCUCCCAUGUUCUCCUCGCACGAAACCGAUUUUCAAUGGAAAAUUGCCUCAAAUCGCCAAAAUUAUCUCCAUUACCCCAAACCCACAUAACUUGCAGAAGCUCAAUGAGUUCGGCGCUGGGGAAGUGGAGCUUGCCGAAAAUUAAUGAAAUGUGGUUUCUAAUGUUAUGCUUGGUAGGUACUUGAAGGGCAGGAAGCUAGAGUGUGCAUUGAAGUUUUGGAAAAUGAUGAGCAUGGGAUUGAAAAUGAAUGGAACUACCAUGGUGAAUAUUUUUGCUACUUGCAGCUUGUGGUCAGUCUGGUAGACUGAGAAGGAAGGUUAGACACACUACUACAAAAGAGGCUAUCACUGGCGAAGCAAAAACCGACAAGAACUUCAAUUUCUGUUAGAAAUUUGGUAAAAAUCCGACAUAAAACCAUGCAAUGUUGGAUUGGAAUAGCGACAUCAUUGCUAGCAUCACGAAAGGGCUUCAAUGUCAGCUUGUCAGCUUAAUCCGCCAUGAAGCAGCGUCGGUUAAAAGUGAUAUCGAACUUUACGUCGGUUAAAAACGACGUGCUAUUCUAACAUGAUGGCGGUCAUAGUCAACAUCAAGUAGCAAUUAAACUAUAAAAUAUCCAACCCACUGUCAGUUUUAACCAACAUCAGCUAACAAUUAAAUAAAUAAAAUAUGCAAACUUAUUUGCUUUCGUUUUCAAUUAAUAAAUAUAUAAAAAGAUCUGACUUUGCUUUCGUUUUCAAUUAAUAGUAAUUAAAAAAAUUAUAUAAAAAUAAUAAUAAAUUUCAUUUAUGGGCCAAAACAAAUUCUUGCCUCUUCCGUUUUCAAUGAACCAUACUAAUGGUCUUAACAUGCUUCUUCCGCCUUAUUUAUAUGUCAAUGAAAACAAUUUUAAGCAAACUUCAUAUUAAAAAUAAAAUUUCUAAGAACUAUAUAUUAAAUUGAAAAUUAAUAACAUUUCUUAAAAAUGUACAACACAUACAAAUUCUUGCCGCACUUUAUUCCAGUAUGCCACCAACUCAACCCAUUGUGCAGCAUUCACAUCAGGAGGAGGGUGGCUGCACACCACGGCUGCUCUCUUAGUAUAAUACGGUUUUUAAAACUUAUUUCUAUACUCUUUGUGCGUAUGCUCUGCAACCUAAAGAUCAUGUAGCGGAUCAUAGGCAUUUUUGCUAUAUCUUCAUCUUCAAAAAAAAUAUUCCCUACAUCCAUAAAAAAAUCAAGCUAAUUAAUAAUUAUUAUAAUCAUUGACUUAUUCUUCUAUUUUCAAAUUUAAAAAAAAAAUAUAUAUAUAUAUAUAUAUGCCUUUAUCCUAUUCCAGAAAACUUCCUUAUCUUGUUCCUUAAUCUUACGUCAAUCACUCAUCAACGGGAGAUUUUUGUAAUCUCUAACCUCCCACUACAUAUUUUGAAAAGGCACUAGAAAUAUCACUAAUGCAUUUUCUAGACGAAUCAAACGAACAAAGUUGUUUUGUCCAUUUGGGAAUUGAGGGUCCGCGCCUCUGUUGAGAUGUUCCUUAUUCAUACAAAAAAAAAACAAUUAAAAGCCAAUAAACAAAAGUAAAUUUUCAAUUUAAGCAUAAUACUAGUUUAAACACAAAACAAAAACUGAAAUUAAUAAUAAUUCAAAAAUGAACUAGCUUCGAACUCUUCCUCUUCGAAAUGGAGUUCCUCAUAAUGUUGAUCUUCACUUUGUUGAUCUAUAGCAAAAGUUAGUGGAAGGAGAAUGAGUAAGGCUGAAAUGGAGGAAAGAGAGGGAGUAAGGACGCACGAGCGCAAAACUAAAGAAGUAAACGAGAUAAAGCGAAAUGAAAGCACGGAAGUAAUAGGGAAGAAAUGGGUUUAAAUAUGGAUAAUAAGUUGGCGUCGGUUAAGACCGAUAGUGGUUGUAAAUGACGUCGAAAUAUGUACACUUUGCGUCGGUAAAAACCAACAUCUACUCUGACACACUAACUAAAAUGCACGUGGCGUCGAAAUAUUUGGACUUCACGUCGAUUAAAACCAACACUAAGUCUAACACGACUUAAAUGCACGUAGUCUGACACACUUGACUGAAAGGCAACUGGCGUCGAAAUAGGAAAAAAUUGUGUCGGUUAAAACCGACGUGAGCCUGACAGACUUGACAAUGAUUGCAAGUGGCGUUGAAAUAAGAAAAUUUUACGUCGGUUCAAACCGACGUGAGCCUGACAGACAUGACAGUGAUUGCAAGUUGCAUGGAAAUAAAAAAAGUUGCAUCGGUCAAAACCGACGUGAGCCUGACAAACUUGAUUGUGAUUGCAAGUGGCGUCGAAACAAACGUGAAAAUUCCCGCCCAAAAUAUUUCAAUUUAACACGGGGGAGAGUAUAUAAAGGUCAUCAAUCUAUCACUUAUAACUGACACUGGAUUUCAAAAUAUUUAAAAAACUUAAAAUAUAUGUUGGUCAGAACCGACGCAGGCUUUAAAAUAUUUAAAAACAAUCACUAGUGUCGGCUAGAAGCGACACCUACUCCAACACCAACUUUAUGUCGCUUAAAAUUGACACAGUUUUUUUUAAUGCAACACCAGUAUUUAAAAAUUAUUAAAAUCUAUGUCAGUUAUAAGCGACAUUAACGAGCUAGGGUGUGAGCCAUAUCUUAGCUAUAGAAAUAAAUUCUACAACCAAGAUAUGGUGAAAAAUUAAAUUAAAUUAUAAAGACUACACAUACAUUAGAUAACAAAAUCUUACAAAAAAAUUAUCAAAUAUGCAGAGGAAUAACUAUAGUGCACAAAUUAAUUCACAACAAAAUAAUAAUUAAAUUGUAACAAUUCUUUCAAAUGCAUGAAAUAUAUGCAAAUGGAAUGGAUGAAUGUACUUACUCCCUUCUAAUCCCGUCAACACAUACCUAAAGCACCCAAGCAUGCACGUCUCAUACCAUGCUUAUACCAUUUGGCUCCGAAUACCUUAUAAUAUGAGUUAACUCCCGUUCAUCCCUUAACCCAAUUUUUGUAAUUAAACUCUCAGUUUCCACUUUAUUAAACAUGCAUUCCCCCUGACGCCUGACAUAUACAAGAUUUCAUUAUUUUAUAAUAAAUCAAUUUGUAUACUCAAGCCCUGCACCCUACGCCUGACAUAUACAAGGUUCAUUAUUUUAUAUUCAAGGCAAACUUCAGCCCUUGAAUAGCCUCACAACGCAAACACUUUACAAACUCAACACAACUCUUUUUCUUGUUUUGCAAUGCAUAUGUAUAUGCCAUGUUCACAGAGAUAUCAAUACUCACAUUUUCUUUAACAAGCCUGUAAGUUUCAACAUAAAUCAAAUUGAUUAGUAACAAGAGUAAUAUAAUCAUAAUAUUAACAAAAUAAUAAUCUUUGAUGUAAAUGAUAAGCAAUAUAUUACCAUUUCUUCAUUUUGUCGAUCCUCCUUUUCCAUUAUGUUUCUAUUUAAUAACUCAGUGUUUAAAUGGUUUGCUCAACUCAAAUUUAUUGCAAUUAGACAAAGGAACACGGAGAUUUAAGUGGCUCACCAAUUUGGCUACGUCCACUAGGGUUGCAUAUGCAUUUAUGUUUUCACUAUGUAAGAGAGAUUUACAAAAAAAAAAAAACAAUGAAGAUGGCCUAGAGCCUUUACAUAAGGUAAAAGAAAAGGAUGGUGGGAAGAGUGGUAUAUGAAGAAGAUGAGGUUUUGUUUCUUUUUCCCCGUGUGUUGUUGAUGAUGUUGUGUGUUGUUCUUCUCCCCGUUUCUCUCCUCCCUUUGCUUUUAUGGAUGAAGAAAUGGAAUCCUCCAUUAAGCCUUAAUGACAUGUUUCACUUUGUUUUGCAAUACUUGGACAUCUUGUAAUUGGAAGCAAUCAUUCCCAUGCAUGUGGACAAAUACUCAAAAACCACGUUCAAAGUCUAAGGAUUAUGAAUCCCACAUCUCCAAUUUUGGAGGGGAUGAAUCAUCACCAAAGAUUUAACUCUUACAUUCCUAAUUAUUACAAACUUGCCAACUCACUCUCAUGUAAACUUCCACCUCUUCACCCUAAUCAUUAACUUCUAUUAAUUAUCACCUCCACCUCAUCCUUGGGAGAAAAAUGAAUCAAGCAAAAACUACUCAAAUAAUCCCACCUUAAGCUCGGCUAUAGCAAUGAUAAUUGCCAUUAGCAAGUAAAAACAACUUUUAAGGCCUACCAAAAACAAUCUAAUACAUGUAUAAGUUACCUACAAAAUUACAAAACUACAAUGAGGAUGGCAAACACUAGAAACCUCUCUAGUUAGAGAAAUUUGAGUUUAAAAGUACAAGCUAGGCUUAGAUAUAUUCUUGUAGUGAAGGAAUCCCUACUAACUUACAUGUCGAAAAUACAAGUUCUUGUACCUAUAAUAUAUAAAAUGAAAUUAAAAAAAAUCAUUACAUUUGAAAUAGAUAUAAGUACUUGCACACACAUUUAUAUAACCAUUUAUUUAUUUUUAAAUACGGGGUAUUACAAGACCCAUAAGUGAACACACAUUGGAACAUUGGAGUUGUUUGAGUCACAACAACUGCAUGAUUUCAUUAAAAAUGAUCUGACAGCUCUGCGUGUGAUUUUCAAUUUUUUCAAAAUCCUAAUAUGUCACAGCCCGUUCCGAGAUUAUAUAAAUAUUGGGGACUUGAAAUGACAGAAUUACCCUUAGAGGGUAUUAAGGUAUGUAUGUGUGUAUGUUGGACAUAUUUCCUUCAUUCCUAAACUUUUGGAAACAAAUUAUUAAGUGGGAUUUAAAAUGUUGGAUUGUUUGUGUGGUUAGGGAACUAGGAAGAGAAAUGAAUGGUCAUGAUUUGUGAGGGAACACGCACACAUUUCCUUCUCUCUCACUCACCCUGUGUCUCUCUCUCUCUCUCUCUCUCCUCCUUUACGGAUCUCUCUCACUCUCUUUCUCUCGAAUUGUACGGCCACACCCAAGGACUCUCUAAACAUCACGGAUUGAAGCUAACAAGGUAUGGUUCUUCAUCAUUUUGACGUUCUGAGUUGAAUGGUACUAGUUUUAGGAAGUGAAACCCUCAAAAUCAUCGUGAAACCCUAACCCCAAAAUUGUGCACUGUUCAUGCACACGUAAAAUCUUGCAUUUCAGGAAAUUCUAAUCUUAUAGUAAGCUUAGUGAGGUCCCAAGGAAUUUCGGAGUGCUUCGUUUGAAGGUUUUGGACGUCAGGAUCGUCGGGUUCGAAGUUGGCCGAAUUGGAGGAUUUUCCCGACGAAAUUUCAGAGGUUUUUAAAGGUAUAGAUCCCUUCCCCUCUUAAUUUAGAGCUCGUAGGUGAAAAUUUCAUGAAAAAUGGUGAAGAAACGAGUGAGAAAGGUCGAGUUGCAGGUUUCCGGCGCCGGCGACACUGUGCUGGCGACGCGAGGAAGAAGAAGCGCGCGUGGGGGCGCGUAGGUCCGUGCCACCCACGGCGCGUGGGGCUGCGUGGAAAACCCAAAAAUUUUUCUAAAAAUUUGUCGACGUCUAUGACGUCGAGUAGGUCGAUGUGGUAUAUUCACAUACCCAAAUUGAGCACCGUAUGAGAAGUUAUUUCGAAUUGUUGAUUAUGUGUUUUAAUUAACGUUUCUAUAGUUGUUUUGCAUAUAGGUGACACCUAUCCCGAGGACGAGCGCAUCCAAGGACGUCACGGGGGUUACGACCAAUCGACUUACCAGUGAGUGGGCAGUUUUUGUUUUCGUAUUACCUAUAUACUAUUGAUUUUUUUCCCAUAAAAUGAAUUUAUAUGAAAAUACGUUUUAAAAUGCCAUGCAUGCAUAUUAUGAGAUAUUUGAAUUGAUAAUUGAUGCAUAUAUAUAUAUAUAUAUGAAUUGAUGUUGUGGACGCACAGGUGAGUGUUACAUUAUUCAUACGAUUUAUUUUAUGUGAAUUGCAUUGAAAGCUCAUAACUUGCACCCUUGGUGUUAGUGCUUAUAUUAUUCACUGCACCGCACGCUCGCCUUGGAUCCAAGUAGGUGAAUGUCAUACAUACCAUGUGAGGGUUCCGACAUGCUAGUCGUAUAGAUCGCUAGAGGUGAUUCCGACUAGUGGGUAACCUUAGUUUAUGCGUGCCGAUGAUUGAUGAGAGAAGCACUAGAGCAUAUUCUUACACCUUUCCAUCGUACAGACUACCUUACGUAGUUCCGAGUGACGUGCAGAGUAGGGCCGUAUAGGUCACUGUGGUGACUCCGGCUAGGGGGAAUACUGAGCUAUAGAAUUAGCCGUACAAGACCAUUGUAGGGUCUCCGGUUAUUUCAUUAUAUCACCUGUCAUAUUGAUGCAUCCAUAUUUUUAAUCAUUGACAUUAUUGCUUGGCAUAAUUACUGGAUUUUGAUAAACUUGAUGCUUUGAGCAAUUUGAGUAAAUAUUAUGCUACUAUGUUAUUUUUUGGGAAAGUAUACAGGUUUUACAGAGAGGGGUUAGAAAUGUUUUAAAUGAAAUGUUUUGGAAAAUCUUUGGUUUUACUGACCCACUCAACUUUGUUUUGCGCCCCUCCAGGUUCUAGUUAGCAGUUGGUGGCUCACGAGGUCCUUUUCGGCGUUCUGAUAGACGUCCUGCAUGUAGGACUCACCUGCGGGUGUUGUACUUUUAAUUAUAGUCCUACUUGACUGCACCUAGUAUCUACGCUCUGAAAUUGUGUGUUUUACUUUGUAACCUCACUCUAGUAUGCUAGUUGGUUAUUACUGCUAGUGGUUGGUUUAAAUUCCUUCAUAUUUCUCAUAUCUUUUGUUUCCGUGUCGCACUUUUGGCUACGUCACGCUCACGUGACGGCCAGCACGUCUUGAUUCUAGGAUUGGGGUGUGUCAUAAUAAAUCUAUGGAAGAAAUCUAUACAAAUCCACAAAAAUCAUAAUGAAAAUCCAUAUAAAUCUUCUAAAAUCCAUAGAGAAUUAUAAAGUCUAUUAAAAUCCUUUGAAAUCUAUCACUAAAAAAAAUUCAUUAAAAUUCUCUGAAAUCCAAAUUGACUACACCCCUAAAUGAUGUGUCACAAAUAUAAAUGAGUACGUUUAUCAACGCUUAAAUAAUAAACUAAUUAACAACUUCUAUGUUUUUGUUUUCAAAAUUUUAUUUGAUAAAUUUAAUUUCUAUAGCGUUACUCUUUAACAAAACAAUAUGUGAUUGCCCGGCCCAUGACUAGAUUUCGAAGUCAAUGUCAACGUUCGUCAGCAAUUACAUCACUCCAAAAUUUCUGAAAAAUCGAAGUAUGAGUUUUCUUGCUCCACGAGGACAGAAAGGGAUCCUUCCAUCUGAGCCAACCAGGCAUAAAAUCUAAAUCUUUAAAAUUUAAUCUUACGAUUAAAAUUAUUAUAAUUUUUAAUAUUUUUUUUUAUUUUUAAUCGUUAUAUCAAAUUUUAAGUGUUUAUAUUUUUUGCUUAGUUAGAAGGAAUCUGAAGAUUAUCCUUUCCCACCCUACAUUAUCCAACUCUCUAUAAAAUAUAGAAAAUAAUAAUUUAUUAAGCAAAGGCAUUUGCCCAUCGUCUGAUUGCUGACGAUUCACUAUGGAAACCUGGUUCCUUAUCCUCACCGCCCUCUGCGUCUCCUUCCUCCUCAAAGCCCUUCUUUCUCUAUUCCUACCCACUUCCAUCUCCAAACCCAAGCCCCCUCCUGGGCCCCGCUACAUCCCCAUCAUCAGCACCUUGUUAUUCCUCCUCAAAUCCUUCUCGGAGCUCGAGCCUAUCAUCCGCAAACUACAGGCCAAACACGGGCCCAUCAUCUCCCUCCGCUUCGGCUCCCGCUCCGCCGUCUUCAUCGGCGACCGCUCCCUCGCCCACCAAGCCUUAAUCCAGAACGGUGCCGUGUUCGCCGACCGCCCCCGGGCCUUGGCCACCAACGAGUACGUCAGCAGCAACCAGCACAACAUCAGCUCCGCCCGAUACGGCCCCACUUGGCGCCUCCUCCGCCGCAACCUCACUUCCGAAAUCCUCCACCCUUCCCGCGUCAAAUCAUACGGCAACGCCCGCAAAUGGGUUCUCGACAUCCUAGUCAACCGCCUCAAAACCGAGUCUCAAUCCCAGUCCGAAUGCGGCGGCGGCGGUGGUGUCAGGGUGGUCGACCACUUCCAAUACGCCAUGUUCUGCCUCCUGGUUCUGAUGUGCUUCGGUGACAAAUUGAACGAAGAGCAAAUCAAAGAAAUCGAGCGCGUUCAGCGCCAACAACUUUUGAGUUUCGGGCGGUUCAACAUCCUCAAUUUCAAGCCGAAAUUGACCAAGAUUCUCUUAAAAAAUCGGUGGCGGCAAUUCUUCAAAAUCCUCGAGGAACAACGAGAAGUGCUCGUCCCUCUGAUUCGAGCACGACAAAACAGGGCAAAACAGGGCAGCAAAAACGAUGACAAAGACGAUGAAUUUGUGUUGUCGUACACUGAUACGCUGCUGGACCUCGAGCUUCCCGACGGCAACGAAAAGCGGAAGCUUUCGGAGGGAGAAAUGGUCAGCCUCUGCUCAGAGUUUCUGAACGCCGGCACCGACACGACUUCCACCGCACUGCAGUGGAUCAUGGCCAACGUAGUCAAGUACCCACAAGUUCAGGAGAAGCUGUUUGCGGAGAUUAAAGGGGUUAUGGGGGAAACGGAGGAGGAGGUGCGGGAGGAGGUCCUGCAUAAGCUGCUGUAUCUGAAAGCCGUGAUCUUGGAGGGGCUGAGGCGCCACCCGCCGGGGCACUUUGUGCUGCCGCACGCGGUGACCCAUGACGUGGUUUUGGGCGGACACCUGGUGCCCAAGACGGGGAGUGUUAAUUUCAUGGUGGCGGAUAUAGGGUGGGACCCGCAAGUGUGGGAGGACCCCAUGGCGUUCAAGCCGGAGAGGUUCUUGGGCAGCGGCGGAGAAGAAGAAGGGUUCGAUUUGAUGGGGAGUAGGGAGAUUAAGAUGAUGCCGUUUGGGGCAGGGAGGAGGUCCUGUCCUGGGUCUGGAUUGGCGGUGCUUCACCUGGAGUACUUUGUGGCGAAUUUGGUGUGGAAAUUCGAGUGGAGAGCUAUGGACGGAGAUGACGUGGACCUGUCUGAGAAGCAGGAGUUUACUAUGGUGAUGAAGAAUCCAUUGCAAGCCAACUUAAUCCCAAGAAGUUGAUGUGUGCGAGAAUUCUGUUUUAAUUCUUCGACGCAUGUUUAGCUGUUAAACUCG
Molecule: long non-coding RNA, 61311 nt
Filed under: Malus domestica (apple)
Lineage: Eukaryota; Viridiplantae; Streptophyta; Magnoliopsida; Rosales; Rosaceae
Description: long non-coding RNA (MDOM_LNC001197)
Source: RNAcentral